Molecule: long non-coding RNA, 57029 nt
Filed under: Hordeum vulgare
Lineage: Eukaryota; Viridiplantae; Streptophyta; Magnoliopsida; Poales; Poaceae
Description: long non-coding RNA (HVUL_LNC017565)
Source: RNAcentral
CACCGGAGAUGCUUAUAACUUUAUUCCAACAUUUUGUUUCUCAAAAGAAAAACCCAUCCCAACAGGUUUGCAUCUACGUGCCGAAAAUCUCGGGCAUAUCUCGUGCAACCAAAUCAGCAUAGCUGUUUUGCCCAGAGCGCUUCCCUCGGAUUCUUUCAUAUGAUUAUGGCAGCUAUUACAACGGACUUGCUUCUCGAAAAUCUCUAAUACAGUUUACAAUGCACGAUGCAUCGCCUCAGUUAUGUGUACAGAAAAUUUUGGGGCAACGUCCGAGUGUUCUAGACAGUAUACACUGCCCAUUGCUAAUUCCUCCCAUUCCAACACAAGAAGAGACACCUUCUGAGCCACUGCUCCAGUCCACAAGGAAUUUCAUUUGUGCAUGCUCCUACAUGGCAGAGCUCAGAAGGGUUGCCUUUUGGGGGCGUGAUCGAAAAUCCUUGCCUGCAAAUGUAACAAAUAGCAAGAUGAGUCACAGACAAUGUUCAACAAUCCAAGACGGAAAUUUACUCACGGAGUUGCAUGAACACUGCAGUAAAUUGGAGUCCAUUGAUCCCAUACGCCCCUACCUGAAGAAGGGCAACUCUGUUUGCUUAAACGAUGGUUGAACAAUUCUAAGUUCUCCGCUACUUCUAUAUACUCUUGACCUGAAGUUAAUGAACGAAAGCCUAGAGAAAUAUCUUCCACGCUAUAACUUGAUUACCAUGGAGUUACAAAGCAUGCAAUGAUGCAAAUGUAUAGGAGGUCGAGAUAUGUGUCAUCCUUUUUCUUGUAUAGCGACAAUUGAUAUUUUACUACAAUUACCUCAUUUACAUAACUGAAAAGGUACAGAACAUAUGAAAAAAUCCUAGUAUUUCAUCAAGCAAUAAACAAAGGAACCAACACAUACAGAGAAGUAGACUUCAAACAGGAAAAGAACAUACCUUGGAAUAGCGCCCUCUAACAUGGCAAAGCCGUGGCCACUGAACCAAAGAAAUAAGAUUCAAGCACCAGAGAUAAAGGUCAAGACUUCUGCAAGGUCCUUGACUAUCACCCUGCUUCAAGAAGAUAUUGGCAUUUUACAGAACUCUGAACAGACAAGAGACCAGGUGUUUGCUAGUUAUAGUGCUCCGAAGAUGGGGGCCAACUUAGCCUGGGGUACUCAUAUCUAACACUAACACCAUAGGUCCGAACUCUAAAAUGUAGGCCAAUCGUCAGAUAUAAUGGUGCAAAAUGCUUCCCUCUGACAAAAUCCUGGAACUUUACUUUCGUAUAUUUCAAAUUAUACUUGAAGAUCCACUAGAUCUUCAUCUAUAAGCUGCAUGUGGUCCCUGGGAUCACUGCCAGCCAUCCUCAUCAUGUGAUGAAUAUCUUGCAGCAGACUAUAAAUCAACUCAGACUCACUGUGGGACUUGUCACGUGCUACAAAUACAUGUACCUUAUUUGCCAGCUCAAUCCAACUACAUCCUGGCUGUUUCUUUAGUCCUCUAUCAUUCAUCUCAGACCGAAUCUUUGCUGCUUCUUUCCACUUACCAGCAGAAGCAUAAAUAUUAGACAAGAGAGUGUAAGUUCCGGCAUUAUCAGGUUCUGCUUCUAAGAGAUUUCUUGCUGCCAAAUCGCCGAUGCUUUCAUUUCCAUGUGCGUUACACCCACCUAGAAGGGCACUCCAUACAGUACUUGAUGUAGGCUUAAGUUUAAGACCGUUGAUUAAUCUUUUGGCAUCAUCAAGUCUUCCGGCUCGGCUACAGAGAUCAAUCAAGCAACUGUAAUGCUCAUCCCGCACUGCAAUGGACUUAUCCUUUGCCAUGUAUUCAAAUAUCCUAAGCCCUUCGUCAACCAAACCAGAGUGGCUACAUGCAGACAGCAAUCCCACAUACGUGACAUCAUUAGGCUUAUAUCUAUUUUCCUGCAUCUUUUCAUACAAAGCUAUAGCUUCUACACCAGCCCCAUGAUGUGCAUAUGCUGCAAUCAUCCCAUUCCAAGAUAUUACGUCCUUCUCCCCCGAGAGAUCAAACACCUUCCUUGCCAAUCUAAUUUCGCCACAUUUGGCAUAUAACUUCAUGAGGCUGGACUCGAUAAAAUUAUCAAACUGGAAUGGUGUUUUGCAUAUCAUCUGAUGCACCUGCUGCCCUUCACUGAGUCCCGCAAGAUUGCUGCACGCAUCAACCGCGCCCAAAAAUGUCACCUGAUUCGGUCUGAUCCCGUCAACGAGCAUACCGUUAAAUACCUGCAGUGCCAUUUCGCUCUCAUUACCUUGCAAGCAACCAUUCAUCAUAGUAGUCCAGCUGACUACAUUCCGCUUAGGCAUCUCGUCAAAGAGUUCUUGUGCCUUCUUCAGAUCUUUGUUCUGGAUAAAACCGGUGAUCAUGAUGUUCCAAGAAGCGACGUCCCUCUCGGGCAUAUUCAUGAACAAAUCAAGAGCUUCGUCGAUCCUGAGGUUCCGGGCGUACCCGGAGAUCAUGGCAUUCCAGGAAACGACAUUCCUCUCCGGCAUGCCAUCGAACAGCGCUCGAGCCUCGUCCGCGCUUCCGCUCCGUGCGAGGCCGGAGAUCAUCGUCGUCCACGACAUCACAUUCCUCUCGGGCAUUCUCUCAAACAGCCUCCGUGCCUCGUCCAUGGUUCCAGACCGCACCAGCGCGGCCAGAAGGAUGUUCCAGGAGCCGGCGUCCCUCACGGGCAUACCAUCGAACAGCGCGCACGCGGCCCCCAUGCGGCCGGCCGAGGCGUAGGCCUCCAGCAUCGUGUUCCACGACACGACGUUCCUCUCGGGCAUCCGGUCGAACAGCGCCCUGGCCUCGUCGACGCGGCGCGCCCGCGCGUACCCGGAGAGGAGCGCGGUCCAGGUGACCACGUUCCGGCGCGCGUCGGGGCGGUGCAACAGCGCGCUGGCCUCGUGGAGCUGGCCCUGGCGCGCGUACGCCGCGACCAUCGCCGUCCAGGACACCACGUCCCGGUCCGGCGUCCGGUCGAACAGCCUGCGGGCGUCGGGGACGCGCCCCGCGGCGGCCAGCUCGGCGAUGCGGCGGUUCGGAUCCUGGACAUGGCUGAACGCGUCGGUGGCGGAGACGGCGGCCGCGCCGUGGUAGGAGAAGGUGUAAGCGAGGCGGAGCCGCGGUGAGCGGAGGCGGCGCAGCGCGGCGCCGGCUGCUGCCAUGCUUGGAAGAAGCAGCGACCUCUGAACCCCGAUUUAGAGGGGAUGCUACCGCCACGUCGGAGUGUCGGACAACCAGCGUGGAACCUCUGGCCCACGUGUGAGACGACAGGUGGGUCCUAUCUGUCAGUCCGUUAUGAAGCAAGGCUGAUCUGAAAAUCCAGUCCGUGAAUUGAACGGUCUAUGUUUAGAAUGCGCUUGGCUGUAGAACUAAGUACUCCAUCCAUUUUGGCUCAAUUAAAUGGUAGAAGGUGUUUAACCAGUGACACUUCAAAUCAUGUACUCCCUCCACUUGAAAUACUUGACGCUCAAACGUUGUAUAAGUAAUUUCAGAUGGAGAAAGUAUAAAAUAUAUACGGUGAGGUAAAUUUCCAUCCCUGUCGAUUUGUAUGCUAGGUGACUUACAAAAAUACCCAUGUCUAUCGACAUGAAGGACAUGAGGAAGACCAAUAGCAAUGAUGGAUUUAGGCCCCAUGCAGCCCAGGCAGUGGCAUGGACGUCCCAAUUGGUUUGUCACUGGGGUCUGGCGCAGUUCGCCUGGGGCGCGGCAGGGACGGAGCUCCCUUGUAGGCAAUGGGGUCAAUUGACCUCAGUAAAAUUAGCAAUUCCUUCAAUAAUUUAGCAUUAAUCAUUACUCAUUUAUGAAGGAUGACCCUAUUAUCAUAGACAUGACCCCAUAAACUUUUUUCAAACUUCAUCACUAGGGCGCGGUCUAUUCAUGUAUCCGCCACUGACAAAGAAGAUACUAUAAGUUUUAGAUUGCUCAAUGAGAUACAUAGAACACAUCAAUAUACACAUUCUUACGAUUAUUUAUUUAUGUAUGAGUCCAUACCGUCCCUCUUCAACACAUAGAAAUUGUUCACGUAAGUCUAGCAGAGUCACAUUGAAAGCAACACUCUAAUCACACAACAAUAAUCAAGGCUUGCCUGGAACGUUGUGUGAUUGUAGGUCCGCUACUGAUAACUAGGUUGCAUGGUGAAGUGAUCCAGUUCGUCCCCGUCAUCCACUGUCAGCUCCAAGCCCCAACCCCUCGGAACGAUGAAGAUCUUGAUCACAUGUUUUCUAUUUUUACAUGUGAUACUUGGAGAUGGUCCUUUAGGGGUUGUACUUUCAUUUUUGAGUGCACAAUGGGUGUGGGAUGAUGUAAUACGUUGGUUGUUGUGUGCGAACUGGAUGAUGUAACCUGUUUGGUUUAUUGUUGUAAUGGAGUUAGGGUUGGAGCCAUUUUCCUCUAAAACACAAGAAGUUUCGUAGUGUCGAUUCUUGGCAAGUACAAUUAGAUCUUGCCUCUACCUCUAAGCACAUAAAAUGGAAUUCUCACACUGGUCAUUGGCUAUAUGUAUUGUUUCCCCUUCCAUUAGGACCCAUAGCAGUCUGGAUUCUAAGCAUUAUGCUUGCGUUUGUUGCCAACAAUGGCGAAAGUCGCAAAAAGAGCAACAGGGAGAGAGCGUCAUCGAGGGAGAAGAGCCCAGGCAAGUGGAGCAAAGAAGUAGUUUUCCUUUUUCCUAUUUGUUUGGAAUCAAACUAGGAGUAACUUGUUAGUUCGACCUCAAAACCUUUUCCUCUUUGAGACGAUCUCUCCAAUGUACGAAACCAUGGAAAUCAACUCCAAAAUUCUUCCUAAUCACUCUCAGACAACACCAGGGAUGAUAUAAAUGAUCCAUGAGCUAUUCAUCAAAGUGAAAAAGAUGAUUAACCCACUAACGUUCCAUUCAUGCAGGACCGAAGCACAAUUUAAACUAUCCACUCCAUUUGUUUUUAUGAGACUUUUCAGACAGCUUGCUUUAUAUUGAUUUAGGCAGUGUCUGAAUGUCUAAAAUGUCUUAUAAAAAUGAACAGAUGGAGUAGAACCGGACCUACAGACACUAUGGCAAUAAGAGCACCUCCACCCCCCCCCCAACAACUCCCACAUGCCUUUUUUACCGUCGGUGGAAAAACAAACGUCCAAUUGCGCCCCCAGGAGCCAAAAAAUCACUGGGUUGGCCUGAAAUUGGCGUCGGUAGAUCCAGACCGAACCCAGCAUGGGGGCGGCCGGGGGCACCACGGGAAAGGAAAUUAGCGCGAAAACAAACCGCGCCAUAUUCCCCUCUCGUGGCCCCACUAAGACAGAGACUGUGUUAUGUUGUCCUUUGUCGUCCUCCUUGCCUCGCUUCGGCUCCGGUGCGAUUCAAUGUUGUUGCCGGUUUCAGCCUUCCAUUGAUGGCGAGCCACCGUCGUCCCUGCCCUUUCCUACCGCGCAUCCCCGCACACCCUCUCUUUCCCNNNNNNNNNNNNNNNNNNNNNNNNNNNNNNNNNNNNNNNNNNNNNNNNNNNNNNNNNNNNNNNNNNNNNNNNNNNNNNNNNNNNNNNNNNNNNNNNNNNNNNNNNNNNNNNNNNNNNNNNNNNNNNNNNNNUCUUUCCCUCCACGCGUCUACACCGCUCUCGCCCUCUCGCCGUUAUAAAAGCCGGCCUUCGCUGCCGCUCGCAGCACACCGCCAUCUCUUUGCCUACGCUCCAGCGCCAACCAUCUCCUUCUCGCUUAAAAACCCAAGGGAAACGCCAUGGCGGACAGGUUUCCCAGUGACAGGGCGGCGGUCAACGGCUUCGGACGCUGCUGGUUGCACGAAUGAGAGGAUCGCGUGCUGCAGGAGGCGAACUACCCGUUGUUGCUCGACAUGCGCGUAUCAAGUGCAUGUGAUAGCCUGGCUUANAAUAAAAGUUCUCGGAAUCGGAUGAAAAUUUCCGUGAAUUAAUUUUGGGAUUUAUAAGGAUUCAUGGAGCGAAGGCCUGUCGGAAGGGAAGUGCCAUGGGGCCACAAGCCAUCAUGGCUCCCCCAGGCCGCGUCGUGAUGGCUUGUGGGGCCCUCGAAGCUCCUUCGACCCUAAUUCGAGUCCUACAAAAUCAUAUUAUGUGAGAAAAAAUCAAAGAGAAGUUUUCAUCGCGUUUUACAAGAGGGAGCCGCCACCUCCCGUUCUNNNNNNNNNNNNNNNNNNNNNNNNNNNNNNNNNNNNNNNNNNNNNNNNNNNNNNNNNNNNNNNNNNNNNNNNNNNNNNNNNNNNNNNNNNNNNNNNNNNNNNNNNNNNNNNNNNNNNNNNNNNNNNNNCCACCUCCCGUUCUUCCUUCCUCCGGAGGGCUGAUCUGGAGUCCGUUUGGGGCUCCGGAGAGAAGGAUUCGUCGUCGUCAUCACCAACCCUUCUCCAUCAACAUCACCAUGAUGCUCACCACUGGAAGUGAGUAAUUCCUUUGUUGGAUUGCUGGACAACGCGUGGAAUUGAAUGAGAUUGAUCAUGUAAUCGAGUUAAGUUUGAUAGGUUUUGAUCCCUAGUAUCCANNNNNNNNNNNNNNNNNNNNNNNNNNNNNNNNNNNNNNNNNNNNNNNNNNNNNNNNNNNNNNNNNNNNNNNNNNNNNNNNNNNNNNNNNNNNNNNNNNNNNNNNNNNNNNNNNNNNNNNNNNNNNNNNNNNNNNNNNNNNNNNNNNNNNNNNNNNNNNNNNNNNNNNNNNNNNNNNNNNNNNNNNNNNNNNNNNNNNNNNNNNNNNNNNNNNNNNNNNNNNNNNNNNNNNNNNNNNNNNNNNNNNNNNNNNNNNNNNNNGAUCCUAUCUUGCAAGUUAUAGUUACCUAUUACGUGCGUUGAUCCUCAUACCCCAAGGUGACAAUAAAUUAAGAUUUUUUCCGGUGAUUGACGUAGUUCGAGGAGUGAAUGUAUUCACUUUUGAUUUACCCACUGUUUUGAAUCGACUUGUUACACCACCACCUGUUGCUCGGCCUGAUAUGCCACAUGAAUUUGAUGAUGCUAUUUCUGAAACUAAUGAUGAUACUAUUGCUACACGUAAUGAAACUGAAAUUGUGCCACCAGGAGUUUUACUUGAUGCUCAUAUUGUUAGAGCUAGUGAACUUGAAAAUGCUGAAAUCGAUGAACCGCAUCCCUCGGAAAGUGGAGAGGCACUUGCUAUAGUUUUUAGCAGCUCAAUUUUUGUGGUCCCCUACAUUCCUUUGUUUCAUUGACAAGUGANNNNNNNNNNNNNNNNNNNNNNNNNNNNNNNNNNNNNNNNNNNNNNNNNNNNNNNNNNNNNNNNNNNNNNNNNNNNNNNNNNNNNNNNNNNNNNNNNNNNNNNNNNNNNNNNNNNNNNNNNNNNGUUUCAUUGACAAGUGAACCCCAUCACCCCCUAGAUUCCUGCCGUCCUGGGCCCGACACAGGUGCCCCACGUGUCAUUGAGAGGCUUGUUAAAUUGUGUAGCAAUGCCGUUGGAGCAAAAAAACUGUUGGGUUGCUAAUUCUUCCUUUUUCUCUUGCUAUAUACCCAUUUUUUAUCAGGUCAGAGUCGCAAUGCUGUCGGAGAUGCUCCUAGCGGCCAAAAGGCUGAAGAUGCUCUAGUACACAACCUAGUGAAAGCCAAAGAUAUCAAAACAGUCACAUGUGUGAGAUCCUCACGUUUCUUUUGUUUGACGGGUGGAUCCUCACACGUCUAGCACAAGGGAGCACACCAUCAAUCAACCACACCCAAAAGUACCAAAAUCACCCACAGCAUCUCCGGAUCCAGGCCGUCCACCACCACAACCGACGGCCAGGAUCAUCUCAUCCCGACCCAUCACGCCCCCCCCCACCCCCCANACCUACCCCACCCCUACCCCGAGGUUUCCUUUGGAGGCUAUCAUCCGGAAGAGUCGCCGCGUGGGAAGCCCGACCCAAAACCUCCCCCCAAGGGUGAAAGAAACCAGAGAGCGACCGAGGCGGAGGAGAGUGAGCAGCGGUCCCACGCGCCAGCCAGCAGCGGACCCCAUGGCCGCCGGCGACGGCGACGGCGCCGACCCGAUGGAGCUCGUGCGGGGGCAGUACGACGCCGACGAGCUCGCCAUCGCCGGGGAGUUCCUCACCACCUGGCUCCCCUUCCUCUCCGCCGGCCUCUGCCCCUCCUGCGUCGGCUCCCUCCGCGGCCGCGUCGCCUCCCUCCUCCCGCCCCCGCCGACGCCAGGUAAUGACGAUGCCCGCCGCGCCGCGCCUGGGGGGAAGGAGUGGAAAAGGAAAGGGACUUUCUUGCUAGGGUUCUUGCUUGGCCGGGCUCUCGCUUCUCACGUCUCCCACCUAACCUUUUCUUGCAGCGGAGGAGCCGGCGCCGCCGCCGACGGCCGAUAGGGUCGUUGCCACGGGGUGGGACUCGGAUCCGGCCGCCCCGCGGCAUCUCCCGUUCGAGCCCAGCGGGUGGGACUCGGAUCCGCCCCCGCCGCCGCAGCAGGCCGAGGCGGAGAAGCCCCGGAUGUCGUGGGCGGACAUGGCGCAGGAGGACGAGCUCGCCGCCGCCGCGGCCGCCGCCGACGACGGGGAGGAGGGGGAGGAGGAGGAGGAGGCCGGCGGGGCGGGGAGGCCGAGGGCGAGCCUGACGAGGGAGCAGCGGGAGCUGCAUCGGUUCCGGAACGUGCUGCGGAAGGACGACUUCAUAUGCCUCGAGAGGGUCAAGGGCAGCCUCGUCAACAUCCUCGCCGGCCUGGAGCUCCACGCCGGCGUCUUCAGCACCGCCGAGCAGAAGCGCAUCGUGGACUGCGUCUACGGCCUGCAGGAGAUGGGCAAGCGCGGGGAGCUUGGAGGUGAGCCUUGCACAUUGGUUUUCAUCGAUUACAGUAUGCCUGUUGUUUAGAAUCCAGACAAAAUGUUUGCUUCUAAGUUCCAUGGGUGGGUCUGUAUUAGUUCAUGAGGAUGCAAGUUUGUGCCAGGUCUUGUAGCUGUAUUGGAUAUAAUGUUGUUUCAAGUUCAGUUACAUGACUGCUACUAAGGCCGUAGUGCCCGGGGUAUGUACUAUGCUCUAUGUAGGCGUAUGCUUCGGUUAAGUGGAGUAUGGUCUAUGCGACUUAUUCCGAUUUUAGGUCAGCAUAGCCAUAGGAAGGUCUCUGUAUGGAUACAGUAGCACUGCUCUGUAGAUUUUUUUUUCUUUGUCUCUCCGUCUUUUGUUUUUUGUGGGAGCUCUUAAUUUCUCCAUCAAAGGAGUGACUAGAACAUCUAUUUUGGGAGCUAUGACUUUCAGAUUUACGUUUGUUCUGUUAACUGUAUGGGAUCUUGACCCGAAGAUUCAUAGAUUUGCAUUUGUUAUGUUAACUGUAUGGGAUCUUGACCUAAAGUUGGAAACUUUUCUUAGUCAUAUGUUAGAUUACCGGAUCUAUCAAAACUAUAGCAGAUUCAGCUUUGCUUGACUGUAAUCAAUCAAACUUGAUGAGGAAGAUAAAUUGGUAUUUGGUAAUUUUUGCCUCUGCUUUCAUGGUAGGAGCCAUUCAUAGACUAAAAUACCAUAUGAUGCCAACUCUAGAUAACUGAAAGUAUCUUAAAAUGGAGAAAUCUAGUGGACGGUAAUGUACAUAAAAAAUCCCCAUCUUUUGGCACCUAUCUAUUUAAUUUGCUCACAUACUUCUGAUAUUGUGACGCCUCCGUUCACAUAAAUCUUAGGGUCUCUGUUUCUGUAUCUUUUCUGAUAUUUAAAUCCAUUUCUCUUUUGUUCUGAACAUUAGUUAUUUUCUUUUUUAGAAUGGGCUGUUCUCACAGUUGCUUUGCUGUAUCACAUACUACUAGCAUGACCUGUUCCUUAAAGCAUACAUGUCCUCUUUGGCACCUAUGAUCAUUGGGUGUGCUAGAAUUUCCUAUAGCCUGGUGCACCAGUACACGUCACGGGCCGAAGGUGCUAGUACACCUAAUAUGCCCUCACUUCCAUUGUAGCCCACGUGCACAUCCCCUGGCAUGAACCUUGUAACAUAUAACAUGUAACCAGAAACUGGCAGGAAUGUAAUGAAUGCAACUUUUCCUGAUUCAUCUUACAUCUAUUCCAUUUUCUUCUUAUUAUUACCAGUGAUAUCUUAUUUGAGAUUAUCCAAUUUCAUUAUGUAGUUUCCACUUUAUUUAAAGAAAGAAAAUUCUAUGAUAAUGAUAAUAAUUAAUUGCCAAACCAUUGUUCAGGAUAUCGUUAACUGGUACCAUAUCGGUCAGGGGCUGAGCGAAUCGGCCAUUUAACUGAAUAUAUCGGUAACCCAUUUAUCGGUCAGGGGGAACUGGGGCCAUAUCUACAAAUACUUAGGCUACAUGGCCACAUGCAUUGUACUUUGAAUAUCUAAAUAUGCAAUCCUAGGCUGCUGCUCAGGGAAGGGAUGGGUCUGGUGGCUGCAGCUUGUUGAGGGGCAGAGAGCCUGCUGCUGCUCGGGUAGGGGACAGAGCCAGAUGCUGCUGAGGGAGGGUCAGGGCUGGCGGGGGCUGCUCGUGGAGGGGACACCGCCGGCAGAGGCUGCUUGGGGAGGGGGGCGGCUUCUCCUCCAGGAGCGGGAACAGCAAUAGAUCGAGAGGGAGGGAGGACCGGAGGAGUGACGUAAACCUAAUGCUGUGGCGGCUGUGAAAACGGAAAAGUAGGGAAGGAAAGGGGCAGAUUUGGACCAAAAAAUACCGCCCAGUUAAUUGGCCCAGCCGAUAAUUCGUCCUGACAACCGAUAAAUAGGCUUGUCAGACCGAUUAACUGGGUCUGCCAGUUAAUGGAACGAAUAGGUCUUUCUCGUAUCAGUGGGGGUCCGAAUAGAAGUUAACUGCUCAUAUUGUCAAUUAAUCCGCUGAUAUUUGUAACAAUGUGCCUAACUAUUAAAGUGAUUUUUCAAAACAUGUUGCUUUUGUAUUUCUAACUCAAUGCUAAUAAUACUUGUUUCUUCAUUUAUGUUUCAAUUGUUAGUAACAUAUAAAUGUUCUCGAACUGUUAAGUCUUAACUGCAUACCCCCCAACAGUUUUUUCUUUACUUUCUGUGGCUGAACCUUGCAACAAAUAUUUCCCCCUUGUCAGAUCGUACAUAUACAGAACCUGAGAAAUGGAUGCGUGGUAAAGGGCGUGUAACAAUUCAAUUUGGAUGCUGUUAUAACUAUGCUACGGUACUUACCUUAUUCUUAGUUCCAUCUUCUUUGUAAGCUACAUUUCAACAUUAGUGAAGCCUAUCCGUAUAUGUAUCUCAAGGUGAAAUUUCUAAUGGCAGGACAGGAAAGGAAAUCCACCAGGCAUCAUUCGAACUUUUGUUUCUGAUCCGAUCCCUGAACUAUUUAAGGUCAUGAUUAAGAGAUUGGUAAGGUGGCGUAUUCUGCCAACGGAUUGUGUGCCAGACAGUUGCAUUGUCAACAUGUAUGACCCUGGAGAUUGCAUCCCACCACAUAUAGACAGCCAUGAUUUUGUUCGACCAUUUUGUACUGUUUCAUUCCUCAGUGAAUGCAACAUACUUUUUGGGUCUAGUCUGAAAAUCGCUGGUCCUGGAGAAUUUACGGGCUCAUUUGCAAUACCUCUGCCCGUUGGGUAUGUUCGUUAUCUUCUCUCGAUUAUCCUCUAUGCUUAUGAAUAUCAUGCACAAUUCACACUUCUUUUUGCAUGUAGUAUUGACACUUGAGUAUGUAGCAUAUGUAUAGGUCUGAAUUAUUCUAUUCCUGGAGAUUUCAGAAUUUGAUUGCAUAUGAAUUCAAAGACUCUGUCUGAUUCAUUUGCUUACUGCAUGACAUCUUGUUUUAGUUGCACACUUGCACGUGACUGUAUAUGCAUGGAUAGUUUUGAAUUUAUUCUAUUUUUUGACAUCCCAAAGUUCUGAUCUCAUAUGAAUACCAAGAUCAUGCAAAGGCUGUUCGAUACAUGUAAAUGAUAUUGCUCGGUGCAUAGUACAUUGAUGUGCUAAACUUGUUAGCUUUGACCUGAAGUUGUUUUCUCAAGUUUGUGCCAAGAUAAGCUAUUUUCUAAUGAUUAUGAGCCAUUUUCUAGUGAUUUUCUUUUUUUAUUGUUACACUGUCUUCGUUUCCUUACCUGAGUGCCAUGAAUUGUAUGUGAUGUGUGCAGUGAUCUCUGUACUUUUAUUCUGGAAUACUUUGCUUCCUUUGCUGAACACUAAAUGUGAACAUUCGCAGGUCUGUGCUCGUCAUAAAUGGUAAUGGUGCUGAUGUUGCAAAGCAUUGUGUUCCAGCGGUACCAUCCAAAAGGUUAUAUUUGUAUGUUGCUUUAUUUUUCUGAACUUGAUUUGUUCACCUCUGACAUUAUGCUGGAACUCUGAUUGAUAUACAGGAUAUCCAUUACCUUCAGAAAAAUGGAUCCUGCAAAGCGUCCAUUCAGUUUCAAGGAUGAUCCUGAACUGCUGAACAUUACUCCUCUCGAAGCACCAGCUGCACCCGAAACCAGCAGAUCCUCAGAUGAAGGCAAGGGGAAGCAGCUUGAUGUACAAACUCGGGAUCCGGGCAGCAGAUCAUCCAGAAGCAGGAAAUCCAAAGGAAGAACGACACCUGCUGGAAAGACUGGAUGGGGCGGCAUUCUUGGAGACCAACCUCCACAGCACCCACAGAGCCCUGCCUCCAGUGUGAGCUCUGACAGAGAGAGGGACUCCAUUGGGAGGUCGAGAGAGCCAAGAUAUCCACCAAGUUCUGACAGAGAAAGGGACUCCACUGAGAGGUUGAGGGAGCCAAGAUAUCCGCGUGACGCGCCAUCCCAUGGGGAGGACCUCAGAGACCGGCUGAACAGGCUGCCUCAUGAGAGGACGUCUGGCAGCGGCGUGUUAUUCGUCAACAAUGGUGCGGACUCUCAGGCCAGGGGGCAACGGAUGGAGCACAGGCAGCUACAGAUGAUCAAUCGCACCAUCAACGAUGACAUGGACUCCCUCUCCUUCGGGAGCCAUGAGCCCUCCGACCAGCCCCGCGUGAGCGUGCGGACCAUACACAACAGACCAAGGACUAGAAUAAAUCUGGGUUGGUAGCCAGCCAUACCACGUGUGACUGGUCGUGUCUGUACUCAAAAUCUUCGGAGGCAAUGUCGGAAAAGUUUACCGAUACCUGGAAACUGGAAAGGGGAAGUUGUGAUGUACAUUUCAGGAAUUGAAUUCACUGAUAGAUACUACUGUAGUCAGGAGCCUAUUGUGUAGAUAAUCAGAGCUGUUAUUUUUCCUGGAAUGCUGUAAUUGUGUCUUGGUGUGGAUGAUGCGUUGCUUUGGUGGGAUUAUUGAUGACUGAAUAAUAUUGGCUGGGUGUAGGGCAGGAGUUUUUCCUGGAAUUAACAUGCUGUGAUUGUGUCUCGAGUAACAUUUUCCUCUUUAUAUUUGGAAAGAGAGAGCAGUAACAUUAUGCUCGUUGUGAAUUUCAUUAUUCCACUGCUUUGGUUUGCAGCCUUGCGGGGGGAGAUAGUGCACAUGGUUUUUGUUUCUUCCUUUUAUGCCUAGAAGGAUUUAUGAGAUUUGGAACUUUGCAAAAGCAAAGUCAAGAUAGUAUCUAUCAGCAUGAAGAUUUGUAGUAUAGCUUAUAAGGUGACAGUUUUGACCAUAAUAUUUUCCAUUAUCUAAGGAAACUACUCACUCUGAUCCUACUCAAAGUUGUACUAAAGCAGCGACAAUAGUAUGGACUGGAGGGAAUACCAUAAUUCUUCAUGUGGUUCAUGUCAAGAUCAGAUGGAGAAAUGGAGUCCCGCCUUGUCUUUGUGGAUCAGCAAUUUAAGUGUUGUUUUGCGUGGUUGAGAACUGGACGUUGCUUACUAUACUAGAGAGACUUUUAGUUUGGUGAUUUUUGGCGAAGCAUAUAUAAGAUGUCAGAGGAUUAUGUCCAUGCUUGUGAGGCUUCGAGUUUGCAAAAGUCAAGAUAGUAUUUUCUGCACAUUCAGAUUUUCGAUGAACUGAAUUCAUUUAUAUUUUACAGUGUUCAAUCUGCAAAACAAAGUUUUUUCUUUACAUUCAGAUGAACUGAAUUCAUUUAGAUUUUACAGUAUUCAGGUGUACAAGAAAAAAGAAAAGAAAUGGAGAACUGAAUUCAUUUAGAUUUUACAGUAUUCUGGUGUACAAGAAAAAAGAAAAGAAAUGGAGAAGUGGGGUAUCGAUCCCCAUACCUCUCGCAUGCUAAGCGAGCGCUCUACCAUCUGAGCUACAUCCCCAUUGCGUGCAAAGUUCAAUGCGAAGUUCUCCUAUAGCUUCCUCCUCCUUGUAACUCCCUGCUCUUUACAUCGAGAUGUCUUUCAUCGGGCAUAUACAUAUUUGGGAAUCUGAUAUUGUCUCUGAUUAUUACUAGUGGCAAGUAAUUUGAACGCUACCAGGGUUGGGUUUAGGAAUAAGUUACAAACUUUGUUUUUAUGGGAGAAAGGAGACUGGUACUUUGGUGAUAUGAUCUUGGAAGUGUUGGGUCUUUCUUUCCUUCUGCUUUUGUGAUCAGCAGGACGGAGCCUUUUUUUUUUUUUUUUGCCUUUUUCUCUUUGUGUUCAACCGAUUUUCUGCUGGCAUUUAGCGCCGUCGUUAGAUUGCUAUGAUUUGACCGAUGUAUUGUGUUUUGUUUUGCAUUUCUCUGCCAGGAAAUGGUGCUGUUUGUCCUGUUGAGAAUUGGAGUCCUGCCUCGUCUUUUCUAGUAUGUGAAUCAGCAAUUUCAGUGAUGCUUCUCUGGUUGUUUACAUCAGAACAAAUGCUGAUAUUUGGUGAAGCAUUAGAUGACCGCAGUUCAACAUCGACCAUUCGUUCAGGAAUGUUCUACACUUUAGGAACUGAUUUUUUUUUAAUCCUGGAAUGCUGCAACUGUAUCUUGACAUGGAUGCUGCAUUGCCGUGAUUGAUUUGACUGAUUUUUUCUGGGACAAUCAAUUGACUGAAUAAAUUUGGUUGGGUGUAGAGCAGAACAUAUAGAUAAUGUCUUUCUUCCUUUCUGGAAUGCUGUAGCUGUGUCUCGGAGUAACAUUUUGCUAUCUCUUUUUCCACAAAAAGGAUGGUACCAAAAUCAUGGUCACAUUUUUUGUUAUUGGCGUUAUUAUUAGUAUUGCACUGGUUUGGUUUGCAGCACAUAUUCCACCCAUGCUUGUGAGAUUGGAGGUUUGCAAAAGUGAAGUCAAGAUAGUGCUUUCAUACAGUAUAUUCCAAAAAACAAAACAAAAAAGAGUGGGUAAGAAUAAGUUAUGAAAUUUGGUUGAUUGACUUUCACCAUUUCUUUCCUGCUGCUGUUUCUGUGACCAUGUAUCUUCUUCAACAUGUUAUGGUCUGCUGGAAGGCUGGUGUUAGACGGCGUUAAUUUUCCCUAAGGAUGAUGUUGCAUGUUUCUUGUGUUGUUAUAGUUUACCAAAAAAAAAGAAGGAUCACUUCACCAGGUAAAUGUGCUAAUUCAGUUUUUCGAUGAACUGAAUUCAUUUAGAUUUUACAGUAUUCAAUCUGCAAAACAAAGUAUUUUCUUUUACAUUCAGGUGAACUGAAUUCAUUUAGAUUUUACAGUAUUCAGGUGUACAAUUUUUUUUUAAGAAAUGGNNNNNNNNNNNNNNNNNNNNNNNNNNNNNNNNNNNNNNNNNNNNNNNNNNNNNNNNNNNNNNNNNNNNNNNNNNNNNNNNNNNNNNNNNNNNNNNNNNNNNNNNNNNNNNNNNNNNNNNNNNNNNNNNNNNNNNNNNNNNNNNNNNNNNNNNNNNNNNNNNNNNNNNNNNNNNNNNNNNNNNNNNNNNNNNNNNNNNNNNNNNNNNNNNNNNNNNNNNNNNNNNNNNNNNNNNNNNNNNNNNNNNNNNNNNNNNNNNNNNNNNNNNNNNNNNNNNNNNNNNNNNNNNNNNNNNNNUGCAGAAAAGCAAAAAGAAAAGUUGGAGAACUGAAUUCAUUUAGAUUUUACAGUAUUCAGAUCUGCAAAAAACAGAAAAAACACAAGUGAUGGAGAAGUGGGGUAUCGAUCCCCAUACCUCUCGCAUGCUAAGCGAGCGCUCUACCAUCUAAGCUACAUCCCCUUUUCUGUUUAAUGAUGUUAAUUCUGGAAUAUACUUUACUACUUCCUCUGUUCCUAAAUGUUGGCUUACAUUAUCUGGUGGCGACGCACAUGAGUAAUACAAGUGUCUCGUUCAUUCAGUUCCCUUUUGAUCUCCAGAAUCAAGAACGAUCGAGUUUAUUGAUCUAUCAACUUCCUUGUCUCUCAGCACGAUUAACGGCGUCGAGGCAGUCCGAUUCAACAACCAUGCGCAAGCACUCCAUUAAUUGUAGAGGUAGAGAAACACCUUCAGAGAUAGCGCUCGGUUCUGACUCAAGAGCAUCCUGACAUUUGAUUAUGUUCAACAUGCCGUCCUGCCAAGAUACUAGCACCAUCAAAAUCUCUUAGCAGCAUUCCAGCUAGCUGCAGCCAAGCCAUCAGCGACAAGCCGACAAGAUAGGAACCAUCCGUCUUCUUCAGUUUAACCUAGUCGAUGUCCAACCCUCAAAGAAAAAAACAAACCUAGCCGAUGUCCGGUGCUUUCCAGUUCGAACCUUUUUUUUCGAAAAGGAGGCAUCGCCCCAGCCUCUGCAUCGAGUGAUGCAUGCAACCCUUUAUUAAAAACCGGAAUAAUCCAAAGCAAGUACAGAGUCUAACGAUAAUCCGUGAGCAGAAAUUACAAGGCGAUCAACGCCCAAAUGAAAAGAUAUAAAUAGGUGAAGUUGGCUAACUCCCUAUUCUAUCAGCAUGUCGCCAUCCAUAUCGGCUGAAGAUAGCCUGAGCUACCAUCUCCCAUCGGGCACACCCAGUAACCAAAGGCUCCCUGGUUUCCACAGGAGUGAGUAAGGACCACAUGCGGAUCAAGGCGGUAGUCCUGAAGAUGACCUGCAGAAAAUUAAUACAAUGUUUUCUGUUAAAAACGAGGUCAUUUCUACAGUUCCAUAUAGCCCACAAAAGUGCGGAUAUUCCAACUCAAAUUAGUUUGGCUAAACGAACAUUAACCCCGUCCAGCCAUGUCCCAAAUAACAUGUUAAUGCUAGUAGGCGGGGUGAUGUUAAAGGCAAUAUGGAUUGAGCGCCAUAAGAGUUUAGCCAUAGGGUAGUCUAGAAAGAGGUGUUUAAUUGUUUCAGACGACUGACAGAAGCUACACCUUCGAUUUCCCUUCCACUUUCGCUUGGCUAAGUUAUCCUUAGUUAAAACAACACCUUUGUGAACAAACCACAAAAAUAUUUUUAACUUAAGUGGCACUUUAACGUUCCAAAUAUGCGAAGAUUUUGGAAUAGGUGUAUUGUCAAUAAUAUGGUCAUACAUUGAUUUCAGUGAGAAUGUACCAUUGGAGGUCAGUCUCCAAGUAAUACAAUCAGGAACAUCAGUAAGACUAACAUCCAUUAGCCUUCUGACUAGAUGUAGCCAUCUACCCCAUCUAUUGCCAACUAAGGAUCUCCGAAACUGGAUGUUAAGAGGAGUCUCACGUAACACUAUACCGCAACACACGUCUGUCUGCGCUGGGCAAUAUUAUACAGCUGCGGAUAUUGUAUAGCUAGUGGCACGUCCCCUAGCCAACUAUCCUCCCAGAAUCUAGUAGAUUCACCAUUACCUAUGAUGAAUUUAGUCCUGUUAAAAAAAGCCGUUUUAGUCCUCAUUAGACCUUUCCAAAAAGGUGAAUCUCCCGGUCUCAAAGUGACCUGAGCUAAGGUUUUUUGCUGUAGGUACUUGUUCUUCAGAAUUUGUACCCACAUACCUUCUGAUUCCACAGAGAGCCUGAAAAGCCACUUGCUGAGCAGGCACCUGUUCUUAACCUCUAAAUUUUCAAUCCCCAACCCUCCCUGAUCCUUUGGCCUACAAAUAAUAUCCCAUCUAGCCAGCCUAUACUUGGUCUUGAUCUCAUCACUUUGCCAGAAAAAUCGUGAUCGGUAAAAAUCCAACCUUUUUCGCACCCCUACCGGUACUUCAAAAAAGGAUAGGAGGAACAUUGGCAUGCUUGUCAACACCGAGUUAACUAAAACCAAUCGUCCUCCAUAGGAUAGUAGCUUGCCUUUCCAGUAGCUCAAUUGUUUCUCAAACCGAUCCUCUAUGCACUUCCAGUCCUUAAUAGUUAAUUUUCGGUGGUGAAUAGGGAUCCCUAAGUACGUAAACGGCAACGUACCACCUUCACAACCAAAGAGUUGAUUAUAUGUGAGCUGUUCUGCUUUGGCGUCCCCAAAACAGAAGAGCUCACUUUUGUGGAAGUUAAUCUUCAGCCCAGAUAGCUGUUCGAAUAAGCAUAAAAUUAGCUUCAUAUUUCUGGCUUUUUUGAGAUCGUGUUCCAUGAAAAGGAUUGUGUCAUCCGCAUAUUGUAGGAUGGAGACCCCCCCAUCUACUAGGUGUGGCACUAAUCCCCGUACUAACCCUUUGUUAGUAGCCCUCCUGAUCAUUAGCGCUAACAUAUCUGCUACAAUGUUGAAUAAAAUAGGUGACAUAGGAUCUCCUUGCCUAAGUCCCUUGAGUGUCUGAAAGAAAUGACGUACAUCAUCAUUAACUUUAAUACCGACACUACCCUUUUGUAUAAAACAAUUGAUAUGUUUUCGCCAAAUCUCGCCAAACCCCUUCAUACGAAGAGUUUGUUGCAAGAAAUACCAUUUGACCUUAUCAUAAGCCUUUUCGAAGUCUACCUUAAAAAGUACUCCGUUAAGCUUCUUGGAGUGCAAUUCGUGCAGGGUUUCAUGCAGCACGACCACUCCUUCAAGAAUGUUCCGACCAGGCAUAAAGGCUGUCUGCGAAGAUUGCACCACAGAAUGUGCCAUCUUGGUUAGCCUGUCCGUUCCCACCUUUGUGAAAAUUUUGAAGCUAACAUUGAGCAGACAUAUGGGGCGAAAUUGUUCAAUACCCGAAGCACCCUCUUUCUUUGGUAACAACGUAAUCGUACCAAAAUUAAGAUGAAAGAGUUGUAAGUGCCCGGAAAACAGAUCGUGAAACAUAGACAUGAGAUCAUCCUUAAUGAUAUGCCAACAUUUCUUAUAGAACUCAGCUGGGAACCCAUCUGGCCCCGGUGCUUUACCAUUCUUCAUACCCUGAAUCGCUUGUAACACCUCUUUCUCUAGGAAUGGUGCGGAAAGACACUCGUUGUCGGACUGUCCGACCUGAGGAAUAUCCGCGAUCUGAUGCUCGUCCAUAGACACAAAACUAUGAGCCGGAGCACCAAACAACCGUUUAUAAUAAUUUGUGAUGUACAAUUUUAGAUUCUCAUGACCUACUAUUGUACCCUCAUCUUGUUCUAGUUGUAUUAUCCUCUUUUUCCGAUGCUUUCCAUUUGCAAUCAAGUGGAAAUUUUUUGUGUUGUCAUCCCCUUGGACAAUAGCCCUAACUUUAGCUCUAAGAGCCCAUUUCAUUUCCUCUUCUCGAAGAAGGAUCCAAACUCUUUGUUCAGCAUCAUACUUGAAAGACCUCUCGUGUUCAUCUAGCAAACGAGUUUCUGCCUGACGAUCCAGAGUUUCUAUAAAUUGGAGCAGUCUAUCUUGCUCGUCUUUAUAAACCCCAGAGAUAUUCUUAGCCCAACCUCUCAAGAAUUGUCUAAGAUGUCGAAUUUUACUUUGCCAUCUAUCAACACUAGACUUCCCUCCCCCCACAUCCUUGUUCCAUUCCCUAGCAAUCAUGUCCACAAACCCCUCACGUGUGAACCAACUGGAUUCAAAAGAGAAAGCAUCUUUUUCCCUUUGUGAGUGGCCUGGCCAGAAUCUAGUAGGAGUGGGGUAUGGUCAGAUAUAGCCCUUUGAAGUGCACAAACCGUGACUAGCGGGAAUUUUUGUUCCCAGUCAACACUAGUAAGUACCCUGUCCAAUUUUUCAAAUGUUUGAUUAUGUAGAGAGUUAACCCAAGUAUAUUUCCUCCCUGAGAGAUCAAUCUCCCGUAGGUUCAGGCUCUCUAUAAUUGUAUUGAACAUAAAGGGCCAUCUGCCAUCAAAGUUAUUAUUGUUCUUCUCAUCAGCUCUCCUGAUAAUAUUGAAAUCACCACCUACCACAAGUGGUAGGGUGUCAUCGCAAAUUCGAACUAAAUCAGCAAGAAACGCACGCUUUUGCUCUGUUUGUGCGGCCCCAUAAACCGCAACAAGAGCCCAUUGGAACCCAUCUUCCUUGGUUCUGAUUCGAAAUUUGACCGAAAACUCCCCGAGCACCACUUCUCGAACUUGGAGUGUAUGACAACGGACACCAAGUAAGAUCCCUCUGGACCUUCCUCUUGGAGGGAGACAAUGCCAAUCAAAUUCAGCGCCUCCUGAAAGAGAGUUGAGAAAUUGCGAUGUGAAAUUAUCCCGUCCAGUCUCCAUCAACGCGAUGAAGUCUAGACUAUGCUAUAACGUUGUUUCCGCAAUGAACCAAAUUUUAGCCAAGUCUCUCAGACCUCUGCUAUUCCAGAACAUUCCUUUCAUAUCUCAUCGUAGAAUUUUUUAGCAGUCUUGAAUCUCGCGCUCCUGCGUAUAGCAGAAACCGAAUACACCCUCCUCUUAUAAGUUCGUUUAGGCUUUUCAAUAGCAUACUCAUGGUCCAUAUAACCAAUCGUAUCUUUGCCCUCAUCAUUAUGUGUACCAUUGGGUUGCUGGUUAUGAUGCAAAAACUCGUGUGAGUCCUCACCAUCCUCAGGCGAGGCUAAAUUUUCACAUAGUAAAUUCAGGCCCCCCAUAUUAGAUAUGGCCUCAUCAUUCAUUGGUUUAAUGGCAGCUAUGUUGCGAAUAAUAUCCAACGCCCUAUCAACUUCUAAGUCCAAUAAAUCAUUAAUAGAUUUGGAAACCUCCUUGCUCGUACUACCCAAGUUAACCCCCACAGCGGUAGCAUUAUCUAUAAUGUCUUGCGGAGAAAAAUGAAGAAUGGAAUGCUCAGUAUUAAUAGACAUACCUGUCGUAUUCUGAACCUCUUUCAUUUUGGCCGCCCGCAUAGCCCGCCCAAUCUGCAAGUCAUCCACAUCCGGCUGAGACUCCACUCGUUGACUAGUCCGUCUCUCCGGACCCAUCAGAUUUGGGACACCUCCAAACGUUAUGACAUCAUCAAUAGAGAUUGUAGCUGGCUGCGGUGAAACAACUGUCAGAGAGUUAACUUCCUGUUCCACCGUGCUGUCAUCCUUAGCAUCACCAGUGACGGCACCCAACUAAACACCGCUACCGAGUGGCGCAAAAUCCAGGCCUGCAUGCGCACCGCCAUGCACCCACCGAUCAUCGGCGACAACCCCAGCAGCAGUCUCGGCUGUGAAAGGUGCAGGAGGAUCCUGACUUGACGCAGCAGGGAGUGGGUCGUCACCCAUGCACGCCCCACCUCCGAACUGAUUCGCGGCGGAUACAACAGCGGGUGUACCGGCCGGCAUCGGUGCACCAACACCUACCACUGAUUGCACCGGCGCUCCAGCAACCGGUGAAACAUCAGCAUCCCCAACCCCAGCGGAUGGGCACACUGGUACAGCCUCCAAAUCUGAAUUAAAGUCCCUGUUUGGUCUCUAACCUUUGCCUCUGCCAGGUAUGUGCCCAAGGAAAUUGGUUGCAGCUUAUUCGUGGACUGCAUAAUACCACUAUUGCUCCUAGGCUUCUUACCUAGGAACCUCGGCAGCUUGGUCCUCGAGUAAAGAUCCUUGCGCAUUGACCGACAAAAUUGUGCCGGCGCAGAAGCAGGCUCAAAAGAACCAAACCGCAAUUCAAGAUCAGAUACAACAGCCAAUUGCUUAGUACCAGUACCUGAGGGUUGUAAAGACUGAGCGGGUUGUGAAUGCGUAGUCUUGUGAGAAGAGAACUUGGGCCCUGAAUCAAAAUCAGCAUCCGUGUUAUCAUUGGCUCCAUCCGCAUCAUCCCCAUUAGUCAUAUUAGUAUCCUUAUCCAUGCCCGGUACAUCGAAGAGAGUAGGACUCUCAAUCUCCACCUGGAGAGUGUAUCUCAUCCCCUCAUAAGUCCACAUGACCUCGUCUGGAAUGAUUUGAAUAUCUAGCACGCUCACCAGCAUCCUUGCGAUGCCUUUGGUUCUAGUAAACACCAUAUCCACCUCCUCUGUUUUACCAAUAAGCUAGCCCAAACUCCAAACAACUCUAAAGUCGUUAAUGGCCCUGGAAGGAGCACCCGCAAAGUGAACCCAAAUCUGCGGUAGCGGAACCCCCUUGGGCUCCUCACACUUCCAGGCAUCGAACUCAAGUACACAGCUUGUGCUAGCCACUCUACACAUACCGAACUUAAGUAAACGAGCCAAAUCCUCCUUAAUAGGGAAGACAACCUUAAAGACAUUAUCUGAAAUCAGCACCGGUUCCCACUUGAAAGUUGAUGAUACAAGCUCCUUGAGCUGUUGUACCACCUGCUCCACGGUCAGCAUUCCCCGAGUCACCGUCACCGUGCCCGUGAAACCAACAUCUGGAGUAUGCAGUGUCGCUGUCGCCGCUGGUGACUCGAAGAACAUUAAUUCUUGACUCGAUACACCAUAAAUGGUCACCACCGGCAUACUCCCAAUCGUAAGGGGCACUUAGUUGUACCAUGCGUCUGCUUAAGACAAUACACACAGAGCUCAGCCUUGCAUUCAGAAACAAAGUGUCCAACCUCGCUACAUCGAUAGCACACCAUCUUCUCUUUCUUACGUGCCCACUUGGAAGGUCGGUCACCUCCAUCUCCUUUUGCUACCCCAACAUUUUGUUCAGCUACAGGGUCGGCUGCCUCCUUCACAGGCUCAGGCCCAUCCGCCUUAAUAGGGACAACAGUCUCUGUCUGCAACUCUUGAGCCGGCAUAGGAGGCCUUGGCUUCCUACCUCCCCCUCUGGCUGCCCAAUUCUGUCGGAAUCCACCUCUCUUGUGAUGAGAAGGUCCCGACGUCCCCGACACAAAAUUUCCGGAUGGUGCGCAAAAACCCUGGUUGGUACCUCCAUUGGUAGUAGGCGCAUGACCGCGUCCAGCUCCAUAAGAAGAUGAUCCGCGAUGACCAUCUCCAUAUGUGUUAUUACCAUCGUUGCCCCAUCUUCCUCGCUGAUGACCCCUCUGAUCUCCUUGUUCUCCUGCGUGAUUGGCUGGAACAGGUGGGCUCCCUGCCUGCGCCCCGCCAUGCCCAACAGUAACUGGCUUGGCGAUGGGGCGUUCCCCCUGUCCUGGCGGUCUGGGCUGCGAGGCCGGUGGCUGCCUGGGAGCGCCCCUGCCCGCCAUAUCUCUUCCACCAGAGGAAGGAGGCGGUACCCUCGCAGCUCUUCCAGUUCGAACCUAUGAUCACUAGUUAUAAUAUUCUAAGUGCUGCUAGCUGGGGUCUUUUCUUUACCGCUGCUUCUAUGAUCACCAGGAUUUGUGUUGGCCGGCGUUAUGUUUCAUGUCUUUUGUGUUCUUGUUCAUCAUGGUGGGACCUGGUCUUGUCCCUUUUCAUAUUUAUCUGGUUGAAGAUUUGUAGCUUACAUGGUGACAGUAGGGAUAUAAAUGAUACAGAUAAUUUUCAUUCCGAAUCCGCUUUCGCAUCUAAUUUUAAAGAUAUGGUAUGCGCUUACACAAAUCUGACGGAUAUGGAUGCUGAUACGAAUUUUGGUCAGCGGAUAUGGUAUUGGUAAUAUCCGGCGGAUAUGGAUUAUCCGAUCAUUUUUGCGAAUUAUUCGAGGUUGUCAAAUAGGAUUAUCCGAUAAAUUUAGUCCAAUUAAGAAGCCUAAAUGCUCACGUGCGUCAGUAGUAUGUACUUCCUCUGUACCUAAAUAAUUGUAGUUGGGGAGAACUAGAGGGUGUUUGUUUAUAGGGACUUAUUGGUUUUGGGACUUAAAAAAGUCCCUGUAAGUCCACCUAAACCAAACAGAAGGAACUUAUUGGGACUUAUAGUAGUCAUUUGGGACUUAUCAAAAAAGACUCUCAGGGAGGAACUAAUUGGGACUUAUCGCGGCCCGCACCUAGCCCGCCUCGCUCCGCCUGGCUCUUUCCCCUCGUCGCCCCGCUUCGGUCCAAUCGCCGCCGCCCUGCGCCGCUCCAGUCGCCAUCGCCCGCGUCGAUCCAACCGCCCGAAUCGCCGCCCCCGCGUCGCUCCUUCCAGCCGCCCCCGCCUCGAUCCGUUCCCCGUCGCUGCAGUCCCCGCCUCGCUCCGUUCCAGCCGCCCUAGCCUCGCUCCGUUCUAGCCGCCCCAAUCGCCGCCCCCGCGUCGCUCCUUCCAGUCGCCCCCGCCUCGGUCCGUUGCGCGUCGCUGCAGUCCCCGCCUCGGCCCGCGUCCCAGGUCACCGCGCCAUGGCUGAUGACGAUCCCCGCCGCGUCCCAGGUCACCGCACCAUGGCUGAUGAUGAGGAGGAGCAGAUGCCUUUUUUCUCCCAGCAGGGCCGGGCCGGCAAAAUCCGGGCUCUGUGUGGAACGAAAAAAUGAGGCCCUAUCUCACAAAAAUAUGAACUAACGAGCAAUUAUAAUGUAUAUAUGUCUCGCAGAAAAAAUUAUAAUGUAUAUAAUAUAAUAUCUUACAUGAAAAUUGGACAUGUAAAAAAGUUAUACCUAUGCAACUCCCGAUUGCUAUUUAUUUGAACAUCCUCAUUCUUGCGGUAUUCUUCGAAAUAAAAUCUUCAAUGAUAUCCUCGUAAUCAAUCUUCUCCAAGACUUCACUCUCAAGUGCUAUUGUGGCCAAAUCAUUGAGUCUUUGUUGUGUCAUAGUAGUACGCAUAUAGGACUUCUGUGACGCCCUCGGCUUAAUCGUACGCUAACCAUACACGCAAAUGCGUACGAUCAAACCCAAGGACUCACGGGAGGAUAUCACAACACAACUCUAGACACAAAUAAAAUAACAUCAGCUUCAUAUUACAAGCCAGGGGUCUCGAGGGCUAGAAUACGAAAGCUCGAUAAACACACGAGUCAGCGGAAGCAACAAAUAUCUGAGUACAGACAUAAAACAUGGGGUGCCUUAGAGAAGGCUAGCACAAAAGAUACAACGAUCGAACGAGGCGAGGCCUCCUGCCUGGGAACCUCCUAACUACUCCUGAUCAUCAGCGGCCUCCACGUAGUAGUAGGCACCGUCGGGGUAGCAGUCGUCGGUGGCGGGGACCUCCAUCUCCUGGGCUCCAUCAUCUGGUCGUAGCAAACGGAUCAAGGGGACAAGGGGGGAGCAAAGCAGCGGUGAGUACUCAUCCAAAGUACUCGCAAGUCUUACAUCAGAACUAUUCUAAUUAUGCAUCAGUAUCAAAGAAGGGGGGGGGGUGUAUAUGUGGACUGACUACAGCAAUGCGAGAACAGAGAGAGAAGGCCUAGUCCUAUCGAAGACUAGCAUCUUCAUGGUCUUGCAGCAAUAGACGAGAGUAGAACAUGGGGGGGGGGGUAACACGAUACAUAGUCAUAUUGUUGCAGCAAUAUUAAAGUGAGGUCACGCCUAAAGAUCCUCCCUCGACUCCCUGCGAGGAAGCAAUCCCGAGGCAAACUAAUUCCAGUUAAGUAACAAUUGUAGUUGUAAAAGAUCGGGGCACAACUCCAAGUUGUCCUGUAACCGUGGACACGGCUAUCCGAAUAGUUAAUUUUCAUCCCUGCAGGGGUGCACCACAUGUCCCGUCACGCUCGAUAACACUCUGGCCGGACAUACUUUUCUGGGUCCUGCCCGGCCUCGGAAUAUCGACACGUCGCAGCCCCACCUAAGACUAAUCAGAGAGGCCAGCCCGCCGGUCUAAAUCCUAAGCACAAAGGGUUCAUGGGCCCAGUUCCCCUUCACGUUCCUGCACAUGGCGUGGGCGGCCGACGUCAGUCCUAGCAUCCCUUAAUCACAAGCGCGAUGCAUCUCGGGACCACUCGGGCGCGCGCCGCUACAUUGCUGGCAUCUGAAAAGCUUCGGCUGAUACCGCGACGCCGAGUACCCAUAAUUCUUCCCGCGUAGCCGGUUAGUGCCAAAAGGUCUCCGACCAACCCAGAUCAAAUACCCAAAUCCAUUAGCAUUUUAAUUAGGCCAACAACACAGUCUCACGGGAAUCCACCCGUCUUACAACUAAGCACCAAUGAUCCCAGUAACAUGGUCGAGUAACUGUGUGGUUGUAACAUCGGGGGGAAUCCGAGGUAUCACCCUCGUUGGAUUCCGAACGAUGUACCCGUCAAGGUGGGCUUAGAGGAAUCACCCUCGGGGGUCCCACACUCGCGGGGUUGCACGACAGAGGCGUCAUCGGGAAUGGUGAAAGAGGAAUCACCCUCGAUAACCUCGACCGACUAGCUAUACUACAGAGAUAUCAUCAGGAGUACUUAGCGAGGUGUCACCCUCGGUACCCGAUAGUAUCUCUGUAGCGUCGUACAACGAAGGGGGUGAAUGUGCUGUGUCGGGUCUGGCUCGUCGAUCAGAGAUCGAGAUUGAAAAACAAGCGGGGCAACUGAACUACGGGGUCAGAGGGGAUGACUGCUCCACCUAUACUAAGCAUAUUUAAAGUACAUGACUGAAAGUAGCAGUUCAUCAAAAAUAGGCUAUGCAUCAGAUAUAGGAGCUAAUUACAACAGUAGCAAAAUACUAAUGCAAGCAGUAGGAAGAAAGACAUAGGCGAUAUAGGAAUGAUCAAGGGGAGUUUGCUUGCCUUGCUGCUCUGCGGCAAAGGACUGAUCGGCAGGGUCGUAGAUGUACCCGGCAGCAGCGUCAGUCUCGGGGUCUACCGGUAAGAAGAGGGGGAAAAACAAUAAAUAAUAGCACCGAUGCAACACAAAGCAUGACAUGACAAGAUGCAGGCUAGACAUGAGCUAACGCAGCAACAUCCGUCAUAGACGGGUCGGAAGAAUAUCUGACGAUAUUUUCCCGGGUCUCGGGUUACUACGGGUUAUACUGGAAACGAUGGAAAAGUUCCAUGUUUGCUAUGCUAGGGACGCGUGACAGACGAAUGGACCGUGUAUCCGGGUUCGUCUCGUUUUGCUGAUCAACUUUCAUGUUGAAAAUAUUUCGAUCUGACUUACGGAUUAUUUUAUAUUAAUUUUCAAAGUUUUAUUAAUUAUUUAGGAAUUAAAAACAGAUUUAGCUAUUUUAAUAAAAUUCCAUUAUGACAUCAUCGCGAUGUCAUGCUGACAUCAACAUUUGACUGGUCAACUGACCAGUGGGUCCCGAACGUCAUAGGCACAAGUUUUAAUAUCGAUUAAAUAUUGAUUUAAUCAGAUUAAUUUAAUGAGAGACCCACGUGGCAUUCUCUCAUUAGGUUAAUUAAUUAUUCUAAUUAACAGAUUAACUUAUAUAUUUAUUUGACUAAUUCAUUAACUCAUUAAUUAAUUAUUAUAUCUAUUUAUUUAUUUAUUUAAUAAAAACAUUAUUUUUAUUUUAUAUUAUCUAUCGCGUGGGGCCUCCCUGUCAUAGACAGCGGGUGCGUUGGCCCCACCGGUAAGUGACCCUAGGCCAUUUACUCAUUUCAUUAAUCACAAAUACAUAACCAUACACAUGUCAUAUUUCUCCACAUGCCUAUAUACGCAAAUACAUACAUAAAUACGGGUAUCAAAUACAUACAUACAUACAUACNNNNNNNNNNNNNNNNNNNNNNNNNNNNNNNNNNNNNNNNNNNNNNNNNNNNNNNNNNNNNNNNNNNNNNNNNNNNNNNNNNNNNNNNNNNNNNNNNNNNNNNNNNNNNNNNNNNNNNACAUACAUACAUACAUACGGAAUACAACAUUUGUUUUUUCUUUAUUUUCUCUCAAAACUCUCAUCUCCCUCUCUGUUAACACAGAGACAAAGAAUUCUCUCUGUGCUAACUCAACAUAGAAGAACCAAAAGUUCAAUCCUUCCUACCGGAGUCUACCGUCGACGGAUCGAGGUCCCGUUUGCCGGAACGGAACCGAGACGGCGAGGAGAAAGACAUGGUGGGAGGAGCCCGAGGAGGGGCUCACCGACGUUGACGGGAGGGGCCGGUGAAGCCGGAGUUCGCGGGAAGGGGCGGAGGAGACGGCAUGGAGGCGGACGAGGCGGUGACGGUGACGGUGACGGCGCGGUUCCGGUGGUGAUGCCGGCGAGGAGGAGCCGGCCGGAGGUUCGUCGAGAGGGGCCCCGGUGAGGAGGGGCCCCCGGAGAUGGAGCCGGACGAAGUGGGUGAGGCCGGCAAGAGGGACCUCGAGGAGGCCGGGCGCCCUGCCGGCGGGGUGGAGGCAGAGGGGGGGGGGCGGCUCGCCGGCGGGAAGGAGGAGGCCGAGGGGCUCGCCGGCCGGGAUUAGAGGGGCCGACGGGGGCCGGGGCUUGGGGCCGAGAGGGUGGAGGGGGUAGGGGAGUNNNNNNNNNNNNNNNNNNNNNNNNNNNNNNNNNNNNNNNNNNNNNNNNNNNNNNNNNNNNNNNNNNNNNNNNNNNNNNNNNNNNNNNNNNNNNNNNNNNNGGCAUCUUCAGCUUCAAAUAGACGUAACAUGGACGGGCCAUGAAACACGCAUAUGCCGGACGGCCCAGAAUCGCAUGGUAUUCACUCUGGAAGUCCACCACCUCGAAUGUCAGCUUCUCCUUGCGGAAGUUCUUGUCAGAGCCGAAGACGACAUCCAACGCAAUCUGGUCGAGUGAUUUGGCCUUUCUUCCUGGGACGACUCCGUGGAACUGCAUACUGCUCUCGCUAAGUUUGGACAUCGGAAUGCCCAUUCCCUUGAGAGUGUCGGCAUACAUGAUAUUCAAGCCGCUGCCGCCGUCCAUGAGGACUUUGCACAGCCUAACUCCUUCCACCACCGGGUCGACGACCUGAGCCUGCCUGCCUGGGGUGGGUACGUGUGCUGGGUGGUUUGACUGAUCAAAGGUGAUCGCAGUCUGUGACCACUUGAGGAACGUGGGAGUGGAUGGGGUUGCCAUGUUUACCUCCCUGUUGACCAGCUUCAGUCGACUUUUGCUUUCCACAUCAGCAAAAAUCAUCAACGUUGCAUGGACUUGGGGGAACGGAUCCUCCUUGUCCUCAUCAUCCUGCUCGGUGUCCUUCUCACUCGGCUGUCCUUCGCCGAAUCCUUGGAUCAGGAGGCGACAAUGCCGAGUGGUAUGCUUCGGCACUAUGACAUUGCCUUCUUCAUCCGUUUUCGUGUGGAUUGGACACGGUUGAUCCAGGAUGGAAUUUCCUGACUGCCUCUUCUUAGGGGUGUACUGUGCUUUCCCCUUGCCUUUGAACUUGGCAUUUGUAACGGCUGCUGCCUCUGCCUGCGGAGUGGAUUGAGCUUUCUGCUUCUGCUUCCGACUGCUGUUCCCAUCUCCAUCGGCGACUGACUUAUGCUUGCCGCUACGUAUGUGGUCCUCCUCUUCGCCAUUUGCAUAGCGCGCGGCUAUCUCCAUCAUCUUUCUCAUGGAGAUGUCGCCUGUCCAACCGAACUUCAGGUACAGAUCUCUGUACCGCACACCUGCCUUGAAGGCGCAUACUUCUUGGUGCUCUGUGACGUUCUCCACCAUGUGGUAGAGGGUCGUCCAGCGUUGGAUGAAAUCGCACAAGGGCUCGUUCUGCUUCUGGACACAGUGCUGGAGCUCUACGAGACCAGCAGGGCGUUUGCACGUACCCUCGAAGGUCCUGAUGAAGAUUCGGGACAGAUCUGCCCAGCUGUAGAUGCUUGACGGAGCUAACUGGUUCAGCCAGGCUCGCGCCGAACCGUCGGGCAUCAGUGGGAGAUGUUUCAUGGCGACAUGGUCAUCUCCGCCACCGAUCUGGACCGCCACUCUGUAGCCGUCCAACCAAGUUUCUGGUUUGGACUCUCCUGUGAACCUGCUGAUUCCCGUCGCCAAUCGGAAGUUCGGAGGGAUGUCAGCUGAGCGGAUGGCCCGACUGAAGCACUCGGGGCCAGAAACAACGGUCCUGCUUCCACUCGGACGGUCUCUAUCGUGACCAUCACGGUGGGCUCGACUUCUGUCGACCUUCUUCUGGGCGACGUACCCUCUUGCAUCAGGCCUUGGAUCAUGCGCGUCACCGCCCGAACGACGAUCAUCGUGAUGUCGGGGCCCGUAAGGCCCACCCCNNNNNNNNNNNNNNNNNNNNNNNNNNNNNNNNNNNNNNNNNNNNNNNNNNNNNNNNNNNNNNNNNNNNNNNNNNNNNNNNNNNNNNNNNNNNNNNNNNNNAAGGGGGGCUGCGACCCCAAGAGGUAAGAUGGGCUAAUUAGGGGUGGGAACCAGCCCCUAGUUGGGCUGGUGCGCCUCCCCACUCAGCCCAUGGCGCAGGGGAAAGAAAAAGAAGGGGAACCCUAACUUAGGUGGGCCUUAGGCCCACCAGAGGGGUGCGCCACCCCUCCCCCUUGCCCUGGCCGCCACCCCUCUCCCAUCUAAGGGCUGCCGCACCCCUUAGGGGUGGGAACCCUAAGGGCUGCGCCCCCUUCCCCUUCCCCUAUAUAUAGAUGAGGUUCGGGGCUGUUUGAGACACGGUUUAAUCUCUCUCUCUCUCGGCGCAGCCCUGUUCCUCUCCCUCCUCCUCUCUGCCGGCGCUUGGCGAAGCCCUGCCGGGAGACCUCGUCUCUCCACCAACACCACGCCGUCGUGUUGCUGGUCUUCUUCCCCAACCUCUCCCUCCUCCUUGCUGGAUCAAGGUGUGGGAGACGUCACCGGGCUACACGUGUGUUGAACGCGGAGGUGCCGUUGUUCGGCACUAGAUCGGAAUCGCUGCGAGUACGACUCCAUCAACCGCGUUCUAGCAACGCUUCCGCUUAGCGAUCUUCAAGGUACGAAGAUGCUCUUACCCCUCUCUCGUUGCUGGUCUCUCCAUAGGAAGAUAUGAACAUGCGUAGGAUUUUUUUUGAAUUUAUGCUACGUUACCCAACACUCUUAAAGGAAAGAAGCUCACUAUGUUUCGCAUACUUAUGGAAAUGGUGAGUAAGCACACCAAUACCAUCAAGGAACUCGAAACCCUCGUCACUGAGGAGAAGGAGAGAAAUGAACUCCUUGAGCAGAAAGUCCUGUAUGAGGAAGCAGAAAAUGAUGCAUUAUGUUCAAAAGUAGGUGAAAACCUUGAUAAACAUGCAAAUGAUCUUGCCUCCUUGAAAAAGAGUGAAAAUGUGUGCAGAGAAUUACUAAAUGAUAAAGACCGACUUGUGAACUCUCAUGCUUCUCUUUCUAAGGACUGUGAGCGUCUAUCCUUGUCUCUGAAAGACAAGGAAGAGAAACUCACUGUUCUUACAAAGAGCUUUGAGGCACUUAAGGUCACUUAUCUUGACACUCUAGCUAAGGCCUACUCCUCAUCUAUUAUCAAUGUUGAUACCUGCACUACUAAUCCUAGUAGUGAACUAACAUCUAUCCUUGAGGAAAACUAUUCGUUAAAGGCACAGCUAGACAGAGGUCUCAUGACAUGUGCACAAGGACAAAAGACUCUCAAUGAGAUCUUAAGUCGACACAAUGGAGGUUUCGCAAAGGAAGGGCUUGGGCUCAACCCAAGCACUGCCAAGAAAAGUGCAUCUCCUCUCAAGUGUACCACUCCUCUUAAGGAAAUAUUUGUACCAGAGGGACACGGGAGAAAGGUAAGGUUGUGAGUGGAUCGGCCACUAGGGGUUCGUCUACUCACAACAAGACAACCGAAUUCAUGCCGCCAUCCUAUGUACUACGCAAAUCAAAGGAAGGAGAGGUCUAUGCUAAAUUUGUUGGUCCCCGUAAUGCAUUUCGAUUCUAUGCUAUUUGGGUCCCUAAGACUCUUGUAACUAAUGUGAAAGGCCCCAUGACAAAAUGGGUACCUCAAACCAAGUCUUAAUUCGUUACAGGUUGUUUUCUCCGGUGGAGCCAAAUGGGUGAUCGAUAGUGGAUGCACCAAUCAUAUGACCGGAGAUAGUAAUUUGCUCUAUGACUUCAUGCAAGCCAUUCGACCAUAUAUGAGCAUUGUAUUUGGUGGAGGGUCGAAAGGGCAGGUAAUUGGGUUGGGCAAGGUGGCAAUCACUAAUGACAUGUCUAUUGCAAAUGUCAUGCUUGUCCAAUCUCUUCAAUACCAUUUACUUUCAGUUCGCCAAUUGGCUUCCGUCGGUUAUGACACACUAUUUGGACUAACGGAUGUGAAAGUAUUUAAGAGAGACACUCUUGAAGUGGCUUUUGUUGUAGAGUUGGAUGGCAACCUUUACACGGUUGAUUUCUCGAAAGAGAGCACUUUCCAUACAACUUGUCUAAUGGCCAAGGCCGACAUGGGAUGGCUGUGGCAUCGCCCUCGCCCAUGUUGGCAUGAAAAAUCUUCAAAAUCUCUUAAACGGCAAUCACAUUCUUGGACUAACAAAUGUAUCUUUUAAGAAAGAUCGUGUGUGCAGUGCAUGCAUAGCUGGGAAACAACAUCAAUCAAGACAUCCACCCAAGAACAUUGUAUCCACUUCGAGGCUGUUAGAGCUCCUUCAUGUGGAUUUGUUUGGGCCUCCUUCAUGGGCAAGUCUUGGAGGGAAAAAGUAUGGCCUAGUCAUUGUUGAUGAUUACUCAAGAUAUACAUGGGUGUUAUUUCUCAAGUCCAAGGACGAGACGAAGGUCACUUUCAUUGACUUUGCCAAACAAGCCCAGCGGAAGUUUGACAAGGACAUCAAGGCAGUAAGAAGUGAUAAUGGCUCUGAGUUCAAGAACUACACCCUAGAAGAAUUUCUUAGUGAUGAGGGGAUUGAACAUCAGUACUCCGCACCUUACACCCCUCAACAAAAUGGUGUGGCAGAGAGGAAGUACCGGACACUUGUGGAAAUGGCAAGGUCCAUGUUAGAUGAAUACAAGUCACCACAUAGUUUUUGGGCUGAGGCCGUCAACACAGCAUGUCAUGCAUCAAACCGGCUCUUCCUCCGAUCAAUAUUGGAGAAAACUCCAUAUGAGCUCCUAACUGGGAACAAGCCCAAUGUUAAGUACUUUCGUGUGUUUGGAUGCAAAUGCUUCAUCCUCAACAAACGGGAACGGUUAGGGAAAUUUCAAUCCAAAACAACUGAAGGGAUUUUUGUUGGCUAUGGGUCAAACUCUCACGCCUACAGAGUCUACAACAAAUCCACUGGAUGUGUUAUAGAAACCUGUGACGUGACGUUUGAUGAAUUUAACCGCUCCCAUGGGGAGCAAGUUGAUCUAAAUGAUGCAGGUGAAGAAGACUCCCCACAAGAUAUCUUAAACAUGGGUGUAGGUGCACUUCUGCCUAUGGAACAAAGACCCCAUGAUGAUGAAGAUGAUGAGAAUAUCUCGCAUCCUCAAGACAGCUCACUGCCCGUACCUCCACAAGAUAUUAGCACACACAUCAUGCCGGUUGUUGAGGAUCAAGUGGGAGAACAUGUCUCUCACCCUGAUGACACUCAAGAACAAGUUGAUCUUCAAGAGGUGGACCAAAGCAUGGGUAUGCUUGAUGAUGAACCUCAACAGGUGCAACACGAAGAGGAAUAUCUUCUCCGCAUAUAAAUGAUCCAUAUGUUGAGGACGUUGAUGAUGGAAACGAAGUGGAACCUUGUGAAACCUUGACCUCCAUCAUGCCACGUGUGGCCGGUCGUGUUGAUAUUGAUAAAAUCCUUACAGGCGUGUCGGAAGGUAGAGUGACUCGUAAACAAUUAACAAACUUUUGUGCUCACUUUUUGUUUGUCUCUAGUACCGUGCCACACAGGGUUCAGGAUGCAUUAUGUGACAAUGACUGGCUACUUGCUAUGCAAGAGGAGCUAAAUAGUUUUACACGCAACGAAGUAUGGUCAUUGGUAGAACGACCAACCGAGGAACAUAAUGUCAUUGGAACCAAAUGGAUUUUCAAGAACAAGGAAGAUGAGAACGGGACUGUCCUAUGCAACAAGGCAAGGUUAGUAGCACAGGGGUACUCCCAAGUUGAAGGUUUGGACUUUGGUGAAACCUUCGCCCCUGUUGCUCGUCUUGAGUCCAUUCGCAUUUUACUGGCCUAUGCUGCUUUCAAUGGUUUUACUUUGCAUCAAAUGGAUGCGAAAAGUGCUUUUCUUAACGGUCCUCUACAAGAAGAGGUAUAUGUAUCACAACCACCUGGGUUUGUUGACCCUCAUCACAAAGACCAUGUAUAUAAACUUCACAAGGCACUUUAUGGUCUUAAACAAGCACCCCGUGCUUGGUACGAUCAUCUUAAGAAGUUCCUACUCGAUGAUGGCUUUGUGGUGGGGGUGAUCGAUCCCACUCUUUUUACUAAGAGGGAAAAUGGUGAUUUGAUCUUAUGCCAAAUCUAUGUAGAUGACAUCAUUUUUGGUUCUCCUAACAUCCAUUUGUGCAAGAAGUUUGCGGCCUCCAUGACCAAGACCUUUGAGAUGUCACUCAACACGGACUUGAAGUUCUUUCUUGGUUUUCAAAUACAACAAUUUCAAGAAGGGAUUUUCUUGUCUCAAACUAAGUACCUCAAGGACAUUCUUGAGAAAUUUGAUAUGACAAAUGCUAAACCAAUGAAGACACCCAUGGCCAUCGAUGUAGUUCUAAAUGAAGACUCAAACGGUAUUCCUUUUGACCCAUCUACUUACCGCUCCAUGAUUGGUUCGUUGCUUUAUCUUUGCGCAUCUAGACCGGACAUCAUGUUAAGUGUAGGAAUAUGUGCUAGAUUUCAAGCUUCCCCUAUGGAAAGCCAUCACACGACGGUUAAGCAUAUUCUUAGAUACCUUGUUCACACCCCAAAGUUAGGCUUAUGGUACCCUAAGGAUGCAAAGUUUGAUCUUAUUGGGUAUUCUGAUGCGGAUUGGGCCGGUGAUAAAGUGGGACGGAAAUCCACUUCCGGUGCCUGUCAGUUUCUUAGACGCUCGUUGGUAAGUUUGUCCUCAAAGAAGCAGAACUGUGUUUCUCUCUCCACGGCCGAGGCAGAAUAUAUUGCAGCCGCAAGCUGUGCUACUCAAUUGCUAUGGAUGAGGCAAACACUAAAGGAUUAUGGUAUCACGUAUCGACACGUUCCUCUUCUCUGUGAUAAUGAAAGUGCCAUAAAGAUCUCCGUGAACCCCAUUGAUCACCCUCGCACAAAACAUAUUGAUAUUAGGUAUCAUUUCUUGAGAGACCAUGUGCAAAAGGGUGACAUUGAUAUUACCCAUGUGGGUACCGACAUGCAGUUAGCAGACAUUUUCACCAGGCCACUUAGCGUAGCUAGGUUCUGUCAACUUAGGCGUGAACUUGGUAUCUUGGAGCUUGACAACAUAUCUUGAAAUCUUGCACACAUACAUACACUCACACUAUGGUUGUGUCUUGAUGUGCGCAUAUAUUUAGGGGGAGUGCGUCGUAAUUCUAUGUGUUUUUAAGCUUACAACGUACGCAAUGCUUCUAGGAAAACAGUGUUCAUAUUUUGUUUGCAAUACCAUGCAAGUCAUCAUCAUCAAAACAAAAACUAUCAGCACUGGCCUCUCCCUUCUCCUCUUUCUCGGACGUCCGGCCACGCUCGGACGUCCGGCGGCAAAACCUCCUCCGGUCGUCCGACCUGUGUCGGUCGUCCGACGCCAGAACAACCUCCGGACGUCCGGCUCCCUCCGAACGUCCGACGCCUCGGGGCCUCUAUAUAAAGCUGGGCGCGGGGCUUGGCUUUUUCCCGAACCCCCAGCGCCCCCUUUUGCCCCAGCCGCCGCCGCCAGCUCAAGGAGCUGCUCGAGGAGCUCCUGCCCAACGCCGCCAUCCUCGAGAUCGGGCCGAUCUCCUCCGCGGAUCCCUCACCUCUAUCUCCGUAUUCUUCACGGGAUCCAACCUCAGGUCGCUCCUCCGUCUCUCUCCGCGUUGGAUUUGAUUUCUCCCAUGUAUCUCCAUGUUUCGUUCCUCAUUCGGGGAUUUUUCCUUCGCGUAGGUGUUGCGCUUCAUGGGCAAGACCAAGCACACCGCUCGGAAGACCGUGGCCGGCUCAUCCUCCCGCACCCCUAUGAACGCGCGGUCGGACUCGGAUGAGCCAAUCCAUCCUUUCAAAUGGACUGCCCGGCGUUCUCCGCCCCGGCGUUCGCCGUCUCCCUCGUCGUCUGAUGGUGCUGACCCCGACUUUGAGGAGGAGCUUGCCACCGAGGAUCUUCCUGAGCACGUCACUCGAAGGUCCAAGCCAAAGCCCGGGACUCGCAGGGCGUCCUACAUGCCACAACCUCCUCCUGCCCAGCCCGCAGGUGAAGGUCGCCACAUUUCACUAGAACCUCCUGCCACGUUAGGUCGUGCUAUCACAAAUUUCACCACAAUUGGCGCAGCUUCAUGUCUCACUUUCCGCCGCGACAUAGAUCAAUACGAGGUCGCACGUGACUCUACGGACUCACGUUUCCGCACAAACGUCCAGGCAGACAUCUUUACCACAGUCAUAGUUCAUAAGGGGUUAUCUAUUCAUCACUUUAUUGAUGUUGAGCAUAUUCGCAUGCACCCGGCGAAAUAUCCGGGUGCCAUUGAGCUUAUUGAGGCAUCAGGGCUUGCCGCCCCGUUUGCCUUUCAUUGCGACUUUAAUGCUGCUGCCAUUCACCAGUUCUAUGCCACAUGCCAUUUUGGCUCCGACAACACUGUCAGCUGGAUCACCUCUGACGUUCGCUUCGAAGCUUCUUAUGCUACAUUUGUUGCCGCACUGGGUUUCCCCAAUUCCGGUUUCAAAAUACAUAGGGAUGACCCUAACCAUGCGCCUAAGUCUAUUGAUGUGUGUGGACAUCUUCUCAAGCCACUACGUGAGCUUGAUGCGGAUGAGCGCAUGAAGGACCUUAACCAGGUAUCCAUCUGGCGCUCACCUUACUUCAUUAUUUUUCAGUGUCUCAUCCGCACCAUCUAUCCCAAGAUGGGUGAUAAGGGUUCUUGCAGUGGCUAUUGUAUCGACAUCAUGUAUCACUUGUUCGAGCACCCCAAGGGCAAAAUCAAUGUGCCCCAUUUUCUAUGGCAUGAGAUUCGGCUUGCUAGCUUUCAGUACAAGCGAGCCUUUCCUCACGCUCCUUUCAUCCAGGCACUUAUUAACCAUGUUGCUGAUUUCUCUGUGGCUGUCACUCACACCCAUCGCAAGUGGGUCAUUCCAGCUCACAUGGCGGAUGGCUUUGCUCCCAAGAAAGCCCCUUCUUCCUCCACAUCCACUCGCCGCACUGCUGCACGGGCCGCCACCCCCUCAUCUAGCUCCGCUCCCCUCGGUCGCAUUGCCAAAUUCCUUGGCAAAGCUCACUCUGCCUUGAUGAAGGCUGUCUCCUUUCAGUGUGGUCAAACCCAUGAUGUGGUUUCUCGCUUAGUUUCCUCCAAGAAUGCCCUCAAGGCUCGUCUGAGAGCCUCGGGCGCUCUUGAUGUGAGUGAUGAUGAGGCCCCUCCUGCUGCUCCUCCUACUGAUUUUGGCUUCCCGUCUGGUCCUGAGUGGUCUGAGUUCUUUGACGAGGCUGGGGGCAGUGGCUUGGCUGAUGAUGAUGAUGAUGGUGAUGAGCUUUGAGUUUGAUUGGUUCUGUUGACGACUCCCUUUUUGGUACUUGGUGCCAAAGGGGGAGUAAUGUAUCGUAGUUAAAUUUUUAUUAUCGUCAUUUUUAGUCUUUGGAAAUUUAAUGUAAUGGAUAAAAAUCAUGUAUGGCUACUUAUGAAUGGUUGUGACUCGCUAUGAUAUCAUCAUUUUCCUUAUUUCUAUAAUGAUUUAUUAUCCUUCCAUGUUGAUCCAUUGGAGCUUCAAUUUCUUUAUCAUGCAUAUCUUAAGGGGGAGCUCCGUACUAAAUAUCUCCUAGACUAUAAUGUAUGUUUAAUCUUUUUGAGACCUAUGUAUAUGUUGUCAUCAACUACCAAAAAGGGGGAGAUUGAAAGUGCAUGCUAUGCCCCUAAUCGUCUUUUGGUGUUAAUGACAACACAUACAUAGGAAACGAAUCCUAUUUGUUGAGUAUAUCUCAGGGCGGCAAGUACUUUAAGUAGAUUGAGAUUUAUGUGCCAAAGGUUUUCUGGAAAGAUUGGUGAUUUAUAUUUCUAGAAGGCUCGGGAUUAAGAAGAGAUGAUGAAGACUAGUCUUUUUAGUUUACUGAUACUGAGUAUAGGGAUCCCGCACUAUUAAGAGGGGAUCACAGGUUCUGCGAUAAACUUGCUCAUACUACAUCUCUACUAUCAUACCAAACACCACAUACUAUCCACUCUGUCUUCAACUCAAUGCAUGUCCAAUUGCCUCGAACAUCCGGCUCCCUCCGGACGUCCGAGGGCCGGACGUCCGGCUGGCUUCGGAAAUCCGCAGCCAGCCACCAGAAGUUUGUGAGGCAUAUAACUCGGAAAUCCGGCUCCCUUCGGACAUCCGAGGGCCGACGUCCGGCCAAGCUCCGGAAAUCCGGAAGUCUUCACCAGUAGAAUGUGUGCUCUAUAUCUCGGAAAUCCGGCUACCUCCGGACGUCCGAGCACCGGACGUACGACCCCCAUCGGAAAUACGAAAGCCACCACCAGUAGAAAUUGUGUUGUAUAAUACGGAUUUCCGGGCCACUCCGGACGUCCGUACGCUGAUGAAUUCAAAUAUGUUCAGGCGCAUCUACAGGUCUCGGACGACCGACCCGUGUGGGACGUCCGGUCGCUGAUGAAUUCAGAAGAGUUCGAGUCGUGCCUACAGGUCUCGGACGAUCGACCCCUGUCGGACGUCCGGCCCCUCACGGACGCCCGGUCGUCCGGCAUGUGUCGGACGUCCGGACCCUGUGUGACUUAUUGCACCUCCAACGGCUGGAUUGCAACCCACACUAUAAAUACUCUUCUCCCACCUAGUGAAAGGGUGUUCAACACAGCUAGAAUACACCCAAGAACACCUUUCCUCUCACUCACUCUUGUCUUCACCAAAUCCUAGAUCCCAAGAGCAUUUGUGAGCCCCUUUGAGUGUUGUUCCAAUGAAAAGAUAGAUCGUCUCCCUCUCCUCCUUCCCACCAAAGUGAUUUGUGAUUUGAGCAAGUUUUGAGCAAUCCCUGUGAUCUUGUUACUCUUGGAGGUUGGAGACUCCUAGGCGAUAGGAGUCUUCGGAGAGGAAUCAAACCAUUGUGAUAUCCCCCGGAGAGUUUGUGAAGGUUUGGAAGCCACCUCAAGGCUUACCACUAGUGGUUGAGAAACGCCUUCGUGGAGUUAUCUCAAAGGGAGAAUAGGGUGAGGCUUCGUGGCGUUGGUGUGCCUUCGUGGUAACAUCCGCCCCUCUAACGGUGACGUAGCUUCCCUCCAAGGAAGUGAACAUCGGGAUACAUCCUUGUCUCUCUCGGAGUUUCAGUUAUUCCUAACCCUAACUCUCUACUUGUGUUAAUCCUUAUUACAUACUUGUAUUUGAUUAUUGUUUACCGCUUGCCUAGCUUCACUCCUAAUAGCUUACUCUUUGUCUUAGCAAUUAUUAGUCUUACACUCAUAUUCCACACUUUAGCCUAAAAUUGCUAAGUAAUUAUUAAAAUUUGGAUUUGUACCUAUUCACCCCCCCUCUAGGUCUAUCUCGAUCAUUUUCACCUGUCGAUCUAUUCGGAGUUGUGCGGAGGCCCCACAACACCGAAGGCAGCUCGGUGACCCAUGCGCCGGCGGCAUGUCCAACUUCUCGCAGGAGUCGAGGCUUGAACCCUUGAAGAAUAAGUCCAUUCUCCCGCUCUGCUUGCCCGUUUGUUUGGGGGUGCGCCACGGAUGCAAAAUCCACUCGGAUACCUUGGCCUGUGCAAAAACCUUUGAACCUGUCCGAGUCAAAGUUUGUGCCAUUGUCGGUGAUUAUGCUGUGCGGAACCCCGUAUCUGGCGAUGAUGUCUCUGAUAAAUUUGAUGGCUGUAAGGGCAUCAAGCUUCUUGAUGGGCUUGGCUUCAAUCCACUUGGUAAACUUGUCGACUACUACCAGCAGAUGAGUGAAUCCUCCUUGGCCUGUUCUGAAUGGUCCAACUGUAUCUAAUCCCCACACGGCGAAUGGCCAAGCAAGAGGAAUUGUCUUGAGCGCAGACGUUGGCUUGUGGGACUUGUUUGAAUAGAACUGACAACCUUCGCAACGGUCGACCAUAUCUUUUGCCAUUUCAUUCGCCUGCAACCAGAAGAAACCAGCUCUGAAUGCCUUGGCGACGAUGGCCCUUGAGGAGGCAUGAUGACCGCAGGUUCCCGAGUGAAUUUCUUCCAAGAUUAACUGCCCCUCUUCAGGAGAGAUACACCGCUGAAGUACGCCUGAAACACUUUCCCUGUACAACUGGUCAUCAAUAACGAUGAAGGACUUCGACCUGCGGACGAUCUGCCUAGCUUGGACUUCGUCUUCUGGUAACUCUUGCCUCAUGAUGUACGCAAUGAACGGCACAGUCCAUUCGGGAAUGACAGCUAGAAUCUCCAUGAUCAAAUCAACCACAGUGGGGACCUCGACUUCAGUCUGAUCUGUUGAGCUCUUCGGUUGUACUGGUUCCUCUGUAAAAGGGUCUUCUUUUACCGAGGGGAGGUGUAGGUGCUCGAGGCAGACAUCACUCGGGACCGGUCUCUGAGUGGAUCCAAGUUUUGCCAAUUCAUCUGCUGCUUGGUUUUUCAGUCGGGGAACAUGGUGAAGUUCUAGAAUUCGAACUUCUUCUCGAGCUUCUUUACUGCGUUGCAGUAUGCUGUCAUGGUGGGGUUCCUUACAUCCCAUUCCUUCAUUACUUGAUUAACCACUAGAUCUGAGUCGCCAUAGACCAUCAGGCGAUGGACGCCGAGUGUGAUGGCCAUGCGCAACCCGUAAAGGAGAGCUUCGUACUCUGCUUCGUUGUUGGAAGAAUCAAAAUGGAUCUGCAACACAUACUUGAGUUUAUCACCUUUCGGGGAUAUGAGCACUACGCCGGCGCCGGAGCCAUUCAACAUCUUGGACCCAUCGAAGAACAUGGUCCAAUGAGCCGAGUAGAUGUGAGUCGGUUGCUGUUGUUCUACCCAUUCUGUUAUGAAGUCAGCAAGAGCUUGAGACUUUAUAGCUUUCUUGGCUUCGAACUUGAUGUCGCAGUAUAGCAUCUCCAUUGCCCACUUUGCCACUCGGCCUAACGCGUCCCGAUUGUGGAGAAUUUCCGACAACGGAGCAUCAGAUAUGACAGAUACCGAGUGGUCUUGGAAAUAAUGAGCCACCUUCUUUGCAGUCAUGUAGAUCCCAUAAAUAAGCUUCUGAUAAUGGGGAUACCUCUCCUUGGAAGGAGUCAGGACUUCGGAAACAUAAUAUACUGGCCGCUGAACCUUGUACACUUUGCCUUCUUCUUCGCGUUCGACUGUCAGAACGGUGCUGACGACUUGAUUUGUAGCCGCGAUGUACAGAAGAAGGGGUUCUUUACUGAGCGGGGCAGUAAGAACCGGCUGGGUGGAAAGCAUGGCUUUGAGGUCGUCGAAUGCGAUUUGGGCUUCGUCUGUCCAUUCGAAGGUAUCUGACUUCUUCAUGAGUCGGUACAGAGGUAACGCCUUCUCGCCGAGUCGAGCGAUAAACCUGCUCAAAGCCGCUAGGCAACCUGUGAGCCUCUGAACAUCAUGUACUCUUACCGGCCGCUCCAUUCGAACGAUGGUCCCGAUCUUUUCGGGGUUGACAUCGAUCCCUCGUUCGGAAACGAAGAAACCGAGUAACUUCCCGCUGGGAACGCCGAAUGAACACUUGGCUGGGUUGAGCUUGAUAUCGUACCUAUGUAGGCUGGCGAAUGUUUCUGCCAAGUCAGUCAGCAGGUCGGAACCUUUGCGUGACUUGACGACGAUAUCAUCCAUAUAUGCCUCCACAUUUCGACCGAUCUGGUCUAGGAGGCAUUUUUGGAUCAUGCGCAUAAAAGUUGCUCCUGCAUUCUUCAAACCGAAUGGCAUAGUGAUGUAACAGAAACACCCGAAUGGGGUGAUGAAGGCUGUUUUUAAUUCAUCUGGACCAUACAGACGGAUCUGAUGAUAGCCCGAAUAGGCAUCAAGGAAGGAUAAGCGCUCGCAACCCGCAGUCGAAUCAACAAUUUGAUCAAUGCGGGGGAGCGGGAAGUGAUCUUUCGGACAGACCUUAUUGAGAUGCUUGAAAUCGAUGCACAUACGGAGAGUCUUGUCCUUCUUGGGCACCAUGACUACAUUAGCGAGCCACUCGGAGUGGUGUACCUCGUGAAUGAAGUUGGCUGCCAAAAGUUUAGCCACCUCCUCUCCGAUUGCUUUCCUCUUGUGCAUGGCGGACCGACGCAUGCGUUCUCGGACUGGUCGAGCAGCAGGAUCCACAUGUAGUCGGUGCUCAGCCAACUCCCUGGGUACACCUGGCAUGUUAGCAGGCUUCCACUCAAAAAAUGUCCCAGUUCUCACGGAGGAAUUGGAUGAGCUUGGCUUCCUAUUUUGGAUCAAGGGUGGUGGAGAUGUUUGUCGGGGCGGCGGUGUCGUCCGUCGGAUGGAUGGUGACUUUCUUCGUGUCUCCCGCCGACUGGAAUGCGGACUCGGAAGCUGGCUUCUUUGAACGCAUCAGGUCAGCGGGGUCGGCGGUCUUCUUGUACUCAUCCAGCUCGAGAAUAGCCAUCUGCUGAUCAGCAAUCCUCGACCCCUGCUGUAGACACUCCUCGGCCCGCUGCCGAUUGCCUGUGACCGUAAUCACACCUUUGGGACCUAGCAUCUUCAGCUUCAAAUAGACGUAACAUGGACGGGCCAUGAAACACGCAUAUGCCGGACGGCCUAGAAUCGCAUGGUAUGCACUCUGGAAGUCCACCACCUCGAAUGUCAGCUUCUCCUUGCGGAAGUUCUUGUCAGAGCCGAAGACGACAUCCAACGCAAUCUGGUCGAGUGAUUUGGCCUUUCUUCCUGGGACGACUCCGUGGAACUGCAUACUGCUCUCGCUAAGUUUGGACAUCGGAAUGCCCAUUCCCUUGAGAGUGUCGGCAUACAUGAUAUUCAAGCCGCUGCCGCCGUCCAUGAGGACUUUGCACAGCCUAACUCCUUCCACCACCGGGUUGACGACCAGAGCCUGCCUACCUGGGGUGGGUACGUGUGCUGGGUGGUCUGACUGAUCAAAGGUGAUCGCAGUCUGUGACCACUUGAGGAACGUGGGAGUGGAUGGGGUUGCCAUGUUUACCUCCCUGUUGACCAGCUUCAGUCGACUUUUGCUUUCCACAUCAGCAAAAAUCAUCAACGUUGCAUGGACUUGGGGGAACGGAUCCUCCUUGUCCUCAUCAUCCUGCUCGGUGUCCUUCUCACUCGGCUGUCCUUCGCCGAAUCCUUGGAUCAGGAGGCGACAAUGCCGAGUGGUAUGCUUCGGCACUAUGACAUUGCCUUCUUCAUCCGUUUUCGUGUGGAUUGGACACGGUUGAUCCAGGAUGGAAUUUCCUGACUGCCUCUUCUUAGGGGUGUACUGUGCUUUCCCCUUGCCUUUGAACUUGGCAUUUGUAACGGCUGCUGCCUCUGCCUGCGGAGUGGAUUGAGCUUUCUGCUUCUGCUUCCGACUGCUGUUCCCAUCUCCAUCGGCGACUGACUUAUGCUUGCCGCUACGUAUGUGGUCCUCCUCUUCGCCAUUUGCAUAGCGCGCGGCUAUCUCCAUCAUCUUUCUCAUGGAGAUGUCGCCUGUCCAACCGAACUUCAGGUACAGAUCUCUGUACCGCACACCUGCCUUGAAGGCGCAUACUUCUUGGUGCUCUGUGACGUUCUCCACCAUGUGGUAGAGGGUCGUCCAGCGUUGGAUGAAAUCGCACAAGGGCUCGUUCUGCUUCUGGACACAGUGCUGGAGCUCUACGAGACCAGCAGGGCGUUUGCACGUACCCUCGAAGGUCCUGAUGAAGAUUCGGGACAGAUCUGCCCAGCUGUAGAUGCUUGACGGAGCUAACUGGUUCAGCCAGGCUCGCGCCGAACCGUCGGGCAUCAGUGGGAGAUGUUUCAUGGCGACAUGGUCAUCUCCGCCACCGAUCUGGACCGCCACUCUGUAGCCGUCCAACCAAGUUUCUGGUUUGGACUCUCCUGUGAACCUGCUGAUUCCCGUCGCCAAUCGGAAGUUCGGAGGGAUGUCAGCUGAGCGGAUGGCCCGACUGAAGCACUCGGGGCCAGAAACAACGGUCCUGCUUCCACUCGGACGGUCUCUAUCGUGACCAUCACGGUGGGCUCGACUUCUGUCGACCUUCUUCUGGGCGACGUACCCUCUUGCAUCAGGCCUUGGAUCAUGCGCGUCACCGCCCGAACGACGAUCAUCGUGAUGUCGGGGCCCGUAAGGCCCACCCCGCGGAGGAGUACGCGAACGGUAACGAUCUUCAGGAUGAGACCAAAUGGGAAGCGGAUUCUGACUCGGGUCCCUGGAACGGCUGCCCCCUCUGCGUCGCUGGUGAGAGUCGGGACUGAAAACCGACCGAUGCAUGUUCGCUUGAACAGAACUGUUGUGGAUCUUGUUGUGCGACUGGGAGACCGCCGAAUUUUGCUGUUGCGCCGUAUGCAAUAGGGCACGGAUCUGCUCGAUUCCUCUACCAGCCUCUGAAUCAGUCAGCUGGAGGGAAUCGGCUAUCCUGGCGGCUGCAGCCAAGUUGAGGAUGGGUGUGCGGAACACCUCGAUGUUGCUCUCGCGAGUGCGUCGACUGGAAGAACGAUGGUGUUGACGACGAGCGCCGGAUGAUUCACCGAACUCACGCUCGUUCCGACCAGUCCCAAGGAGACUUUCAUUGGAAUCGGCCAUGAGAACUUCGGCUGCAGGCCCGCGACCCGGAUACUCGGAAGGUAGCUCAGUCGGAACUGACUCCAAGCACUGGGAUGGCGGCGGGACCACAACCGAUUCGAGCAUCGCCACUUGAGAGGACACGCUCUGUCGCGCCUGGGCGUGUCGCACCCAACGCUGGAGCCGUAGACGACGGGAUCGCUUGUUGCGGCGCGCGACGGGGGCGAAGAUCGACACUGGGGUCAAUGGCUGGAGAAGAAGAACACCGCGGGAACUGGCACGGAAGUGCAUAGCCCCGCGACUGGGAAGCGCCUCGACGUCGAGGGGCGCAUCCCGAAGCCAUGCCGAAUCGUCGGCGAUGAAGGAGAGGGUACCGAAGAGGAUCUCAUGACCCAUGCGCAGAUCUCCGCCGGACGACAUGACGGAAAGAUGAAAUCGCAAACUCGCCGGAAGUCGCUUAGACGCCUGCCCCACGGUGGGCGCCAACUGUCGUGGGUAUAAGUCUGACAGUAGAAGUAUGGGGUACGAAAGUAUGGGCAGAGCCUUAGCUACGGCGAGGAUGUAUGAGUUCAGGUCCCUCUACGGUGGAGGUAAAAGCCCUACGUCUCAGUGCUCUUGGGAGCUUUGUGUCGAGUGGAUUAUAGGAUUACAGCAAGUGCCAACCCCUGUCCAGUGGUGAAGGGCGGCUUAUAUAGAGUGCGCUGCCCUUCAUAAUGGCCCGGUGGACAGGGGUGGAAUAGUGGCGAGUAAAUACUUACGUUACAGGUAACGUAAGCUUUAAAUGCUAAUAAUGGUGUAUGAAAACGUAUGACCGUUGCCCUCCUCGGAGGUUACGAUGUACAUAGUGGAUUCCAGUCGGUACGUUAGAUAUGCUUCGAGUGGAUCGUCGCCGACUGGAUGAUGGGGGCGUCCUUAGUUCAGUCGAAACUGACUAAGGGCGUUGUCUUCUAUGAAGGGUAGUCCUUGGGUAGGACCUAUAGGGCAGACCUAUGACCCUACCCUGGGACUAUAACCCCAUCAGCCGUCGCCACCUCCCGACCCCACCGCGCGUCGCCGCCGGACCAACGCGGCCGCCGUCACCUCCCGAUCAUUACUUUUUGUGAAGUUCAAGCUCUUAGUUUCUGAAGUAGUAUGUUUUUUAUUAUAAAAAAUAAAUUACUAACGUUGGACAACAAUGCACGAUAAAGAUAGCAUAGAUGUAUAACUAGCAAAUUCUUUACCAUCCGGUUUUAGGCCAUUGUCGUUUGUUUUCCACGGAUGACAAAUUAGCUGAUUCCUGUAAUGAUAUCGAGAGGAUGAUAUGUCAUGAUGGUGAUAAGGAUAGGCUAAAUUAUUUCAUACGUGAGUACCAGGUGCACCGGCCUUGUGGAGCUGCACCGGACACCUGUUUUACAUAAUAAAACAGCUAUCUAAAACAUCUAAAAAAUAUACAUAAUGUAGACAUAAUAUAUGUAUAUUGUUAAUCUGUUAUAUAGAAGAAACAAAGCCAAAUUCAGCAUAUAAAACUCUAGAAACAAAAGAACAUAAAUGUUAUGAAUCUACAGAGAAUCACAAGUCGGCAGGCAGGUCGUUAUACAAUAUAAUGAUAAUACUUUGGUUUCUGCUGGCUGACAAUCAUGACACGUAGGUUAUGUUAACUUACACACAUGCAUCAUAUAUAUAUGGGCCAUACUAUUCAAUUCGAACCCACAACACAAACUUAUGCAUAAAAUCACAUUUUACCGGUUUAUGUGAUCGUGUACGAAAUACUCGGCGCUACGUACAUGGCGGCCCCGCUGGCGGAAACCAACCGGUAGGGGUAGGUUGUGUCACGAUCUCAUUGAUUCUGAUGGACAGAAAACAUAGCCACAACAAUCAUGAUGUGUAGUUGAUCUCAUCAACCGUGCACAUAGCCGAUCUCAAGAACGGCGACGUAUCUAAUCCACCGCCUCCACAUAUCAAAUAUGCAUCGGAUAUGAAUACCAAAUCCUAUAGCAGAGACUUUGAUACCACUGUUGGGUUCUACCGUAGGCGCAUUGGAUGCAAAUUAAAAUUUUCCUACGCGAAGAACAUCCAAGAACAUGCUACAGAGAUGGAUCACAUAUAGUUAUCACUAGAUGCGCAGUGCCGUGCAGCGGAAGUAGAGUUGGGAUAGCACGUCCGUGUGGUGGGUCUCCUCCUUGACCGAUCUUCCUCGAACAGCCGGUCGUUGGAUCCCUCUCCCACGAACAGUCGGUCACCGGAUCCCACAUACAUGUGCCGGAGUGGCACAAGUGCACCGCCUCUUACAGUAUCCGAACGUACAGGAGGAACAUCGUGUGGCGGACUGCUAGGUCCGGAUCACACAGUCGACGGCGACGAGUGGAGGUGGCUAGGUGCAAGACAUGCAGAGACUUAAUGACGGCACCGAUGUGAUCAAUUAAAUAAUAGUGCAACACCUCCACUAUAUAUAGGCGUCCGACGCAAGCUCAACUCUUGGGCCUCGCACGGACCCUAAAGCCCGCAUGUUCCUUCCCUUAAGAGCGCGAUCCCUUAGGUUCUCGUUCACUUGGUCGCAAGUCAUAUCACAUAUGAUCGACUAGUCGAUAGCGGCCUCUAGUAAAGCAUGCUGAGUCCAAGUGUCUGAUGAAGCUAGGUAGGCGAACCUGUACUUUAUACUUCUUUUCCCUUUGCCACACGAUAUAUGUUGUCGUGCACAAGGCGACACGGUCAUCCUUGUUGCAGCACGACCUCUUUCUCGUUCCGGUGAAUCCGAUCAACAUUCGAAUUAUCUCAUAAUCCUCAUCACAUGGCCAUGCUUAUCCAGGUCGGAUCAUCCGAGGGGCCCAGAGUAUAACUCUCCUACUCGGAGGGGCAAAUCCCAUCUUGUUCGACCAUGUCUCACAGCAUGGGCCUGGACAAGUCCGAAGCCUACCUUUGUAACUACCCAGUCACGGAGUAGCGUUUGGCCGGCCCAAAGCAAGUCUGUGACCAUCCCGAAUACAUCCGCCAGCUCAGGUCUUAGGACAUAGAACAUAUGUUGUACUAGGGACUCACAUAUGACCUAUCGCUGCGUCUCAUAGUUGGAUUUGUCCAACUCAGACCUUAUCUCGACUCGGAUCCGAUGAAAUCCGAUCAAAAUUUUCCGAGUCCAUAUUAUCCGGUUAGCAUCCAAUGCUACAUGAUCAGUGAGACCGAACCAUCCACCGUGUCAUAUGCUAGUCUGACUGAUUGCGCGCCCACACAAUUCUUUCGACUAGGGACCAUUUAGGACACUUACCAUACAAUGUAUAGGCUCACAAACAAGUCACGUACUUGUUUAUACAUAUCAUUGCUAAUAUCUAAGGACUAUAUUUAUUCAUAAACACAAAGAAAAUAUCAUCAUAUAUGAUUGCCUUUAUAGGGCAUAUCUCCAACAGCCAAUGCAUUCUUUUUUAUGAAUUGUAUCUACAUAUAUGAUUGGGCUAGAACCAUUUUUUACCUAUGACCACAUGCAAAAGUUGUUGGUCCAGACCGUGUCGUUGAGUACUUUCCGACGACACGCGACAACCGAAGCAAAGCAGCAAGCCGAACUGAUCUGACCGAUCCACCCGCAGUGUAUAGCUAGCCUCAACUACCUAAUCGGUCCACAGAAUCAAGUUUCCUCGAUUGAGCUUCUGCCUUGAUUAAAUCACCGCUGGCCAAAGCUAAACAAUGCACGUACGUACCACAAGCACGCAAGCACCCUGGUGGAUGGAUCUCGCGUGUCUUGCUAGCUAACGCAAGUCGCGGUAACACAAUACGUCGGGUUGGCCAAAAGGCUCAUGUCGAGCCUUGGUAAAUUUUAUUGCUUUGUCUUCUCGGUCCAAAGUAUAAGGGUAUACAUGAGUAUAUAUUAGCUAGCUAGGCUGCCAACUAAUUCCAGUUCUACUCGAUGAUUGACCUGGAAACUUACACGGAUACAUACACGGAAACUAAUCCUAGAACGUCGUGGUUAUUCUUAACAAUCACCCCCUAAACACGACGUUGUUACGUUACAGCUUCGACGCCGAUCCUUCUAUGCAUCUUCAAGAACUUCUCCCGAUCCAAAGCCUUGGUCAGGAUGUCCGCCAACUGAUCAUCAGUGUAAUUGUAGUUGACCUUCAUCUUCUCUUUGUCCACGCAGUCCUUCAUGUAGUGAUACAUCGUACCAAUGUGCUUGCUCCUGUCAUGCCGCACUGGAUCCUCGCGUAGAAAAAAUAUUGACUCGGUUUCAACAUUGAGCACCACUUGUUUCGGAUCUCGAUCCAUGAGAUCACCGUGUAGCCUUUCUAGCAACACACCUUGACACUCUGCUUCACAUGAAGUCGAUGUCACCAUUUUCUGCUUUCGUGAUAGCCAGCUUACUACACUUUCAGCAAGGAAAUAUGCCAUGUCCGAGGUACUUUUACGGCCGACAACAAUUCCUUCCUUGUCACUACCACUCUAGCUGAGUAGUUUCUCCAUCUCCUUCUUGCUCAGCUUAAGACGAGGUUCCAUUGAACCAUCAAUUGGAUUGCAAUCUUUCAUGCCACAACUUUCAAGUGCCUUUCUUGCAUAUGCCUUCUGACAUAGUAUGACCCCUUCUGACUUUUGAUGUAACUCUGGCCCGAGGUAGCAACUCAAAAGACCUACAUCAUCCAUCUUAAAAAGCCCCUUCAUUUGUAACUUGAACUUUGCAACACCUCUUCAUCUGCUCCAGUAAUCAAUAGAUCGUCGUCAUAGAUGCCAACUAGUAGACGAUCUCUUCCUUCACCUUUCUUGUACAUUGUAUGCUUGAGUGGGGCUUUCUCAAAUCCAAGAGAAAUCAAAGUCCAAUCAAGUUUGAUGUUCCACGUCCGAAGGUCUUGUCGUCGCCCAUACAAAACUUUGUGUAGCUUCAAUACCUCGUGUCCUUCUCCCUCUUUGAUCAAACUCGGUGGUUGAUUCACAUACACAUCUCCUUCGUUGAAAACCGUGGAUUUUACAUCCAUGUGAUGUAUCUUCCAUGAUUCUUGAACCGCGAGAGCGAUGAGUAAUCUCAUGAUUCCAUCCGUGUAAUGGGAACGAACACUUCUUCGAAGUCGACACCUUCAUCUUGCAUGUACUCUUUGGCUACCAGCUUCGCUUUGUGCUUCACACAAUUUUCGACAUCAUUCUUGAUCUUAAAUUCCCACUUGAGCUCCAGGGCUUUUUCAUUGUUGGAAAGAUCUACAAACUCCCAUGCAUUGUCGUCGUGGAUCGAUCCAAACUCUUUUUUCAUAGCAUGACGCCAACACUCCUUCGUAUUUGCGCCUUCAAAUUUUACCGGUUCCUUGGCGCUUGCUAGACACCGUCGCCCACUCCCUUUCACUUUUAUCGGAUCAAUCAACACCGGUUGUAGCUCUAUGGAUGUAGGUGAUGUUGUCCUUUCCUUCAUUACUGUCACAUGUGACGUUGCAUGCGUGUCUCCUUGUAUCUUUAAGAGCGAUGUGUCAGCGUUUGCUUCACUCGGUUGCUUUUGAUGAAGCAAGGUAUUUAUCUAAACCAUCAGGUGCAACAUACCUUAAGCUGCUAGCAUGGCCAUCAUGCAUGGUUUCUGGACCAAUAACGUGGCCAUCACAGCCUACAAAGCUGUGAUCCGUUGAUCCUUUUUCUGACAUGCUGAGUGGACUGUUGCUACAACCAGCUUUCGGCCUCCACGCUGCCCGUCGUGCUGUUGGUCUUUCUACAGCAACGCCUGGGUUUCCUUUUGCGCCCGUUUUUGGACUACAUGCAACGCUACGGUGCCAAUCGCCUUCGAGCCAUGACGUGGUCUCAGCUCCAUGCUUAUUCAUGCUUGAGCUUGAGCUCACCAACGAGGAUCCACUCGAUACACCUGUAUCCAUCCUCACGCUCGUGCUAGAAGACGUAUCACCAGUGUCAUUACUUUCGACACCAGUUUCAAUAUCACCUUUCGUGUUUGGAGGAUCGACACAACUUUCGUAAUCACGUGUCGUGUCAGUAUCUUCGACAACAAAGCUCCUUCUCCAUGACCGAGGACAUGCAAUGAGCGCUUUCUUCGCUCCAGCAAAGUUGCCACUUACACCCGUAGCAUUGAUGUAAGUUUCGGAAUCAUCCCCCGCAUCUGUAGCAUCGACACGAGUUUCCGAACCAUGAUCUUGGGAGCAAACUUUUUCUUCAUGAAGCACGGCAAAUUAUUUAGCCGACACUUGAAGAACUGGACCCUCCUCGUCCACGAGUUCACACAUCAACAUCAUGUCACCUUCAUCUCCUAGCUGGGCCAUGAGCGCCUUCUCCUUCGGGGGAUUCUUGCACUCUGACUUGAAGUGCCCCUUGAUGCCACAAUUAUGACACUUGAUCUUGCGCUUGUCGAACUUCUUCUUCUUCUUGGGAGCGCCAUCGUUGACGUCCUUCUGACUUUGUUCAUUUGGCACACAAUCUUGGCGAGCCUAACUACUAGAGCCCUCACCUUCUCUCCUUGAGUCCAGCACUUGCCACUGAGCCCGCGGGAGCAUGACAUGCUCAUCGUUCCUCCCGUUCCCGAGACUAUACCGCAUACGCUCGUCGUGAGCCUUGUAGCGGCCGACGACAUCAUCCAUGGAGAGGGUCUCGAGAUCGACGCACUGCUCGAUCGCCGUGACAAUUUGCAGAUACCGGGGAGGAGCCGCGUGCAAGAACCGACGGACUACCGAGGCCUCCGUGAGGUUUUCUCCAAGUGCGCGGAUCCGAUUGACGAGAGUAGCAACCCGUGAAGCGAACGCGUCCACGGACUCAUUGUCGCCCAUGACCAAAGUUUCAUAGUUCCUUAAGAGAGUUUGGAGAUUGGCUUGCUUGAUGCGGGUGUGUCCCUCGAACAUAAGCUCCAAGGUAUCCCACACCUCCUUCGUCUUUUCUUUGGCGAUCAGGUGUUGGAGGAUAUCCAUCGGCAUCAUCAAGUAAAUCGCCGAUGCUGCCUGCCGAUCCUUCGAGUGCUCGGCUCCCUCCNNNNNNNNNNNNNNNNNNNNNNNNNNNNNNNNNNNNNNNNNNNNNNNNNNNNNNNNNNNNNNNNNNNNNNNNNNNNNNNNNNNNNNNNNNNNNNNNNNNNUAAUGUAAGCCAACAUUUAGGAACAGAGGAAGUAGUAAAGUAUAUUCCAGAAUUAACAUCAUUAAACAGAAAAGGGAUGUAGCUUAGAUGGUAGAGCGCUCGCUUAGCAUGCGAGAGGUAUGGGGAUCGAUACCCCACUUCUCCAUUCUAAAACUUGUGUUUUUCUGUUUUUCGCAGAUCUGAAUACUGUAAAAUCGUAAAUGAAUUCAGUUCUCCAACUUUCUUUUGCUUUCUGCAGAUAAUGAAUACUGUAAAUCAAAAUGCGAGAGGUAUGGGGAUCGAAUACCCACUUCUCCAUUUCUUAAAAAAAAAANCUUUUKYUUUCUGCAGAUAUGAAUACUGUAAAAUCAAAAUGCGAGAGGUAUGGGGAUCAAUACCCCACUUUCUCCAUUUUCUUAAAAAAAAAAAAAUACUUUUUUGCUUUUUCUGCAGAUAUGAAUACUGUAAAAUCAAAAAUGCGAGAGGUAUGGGGAUCAAUACCCCACUUCUCCAUUUCUUAAAAAAAAAUUGUACACCUGAAUACUGUAAAAUCUAAAUGAAUUCAGUUCACCUGAAUGUAAAAGAAAAUACUUUGUUUUGCAGAUUGAAUACUGUAAAAUCUAAAUGAAUUCAGUUCAUCGAAAAACUGAAUUAGCACAUUUACCUGGUGAAGUGAUCCUUCUUUUUUUGGUAAACUAUAACAACACAAGAAACAUGCAACAUCAUCCUUAGGGAAAAUUAACGCCGUCUAACACCAGCCUUCCAGCAGACCAUAACAUGUUGAAGAAGAUACAUGGUCACAGAAACAGCAGCAGGAAAGAAAUGGUGAAAGUCAAUCAACCAAAUUUCAUAACUUAUUCUUACCCACUCUUUUUUGUUUGUUUUUGGAAUAUACUGUAUGAAAGCACUAUCUUGACUUCACUUUUGCAAACCUCCAAUCUCACAAGCAUGGGUGGAAUAUGUGCUGCAAACCAAACCAGUGCAAUACUAAUAAUAACGCCAAUAACAAAAAAUGUGACCAUGAUUUUGGUACCAUCCUUUUUGUGGAAAAAGAGAUAGCAAAAUGUUACUCCGAGACACAGCUACAGCAUUCCAGAAAGGAAGAAAGACAUUAUCUAUAUGUUCUGCUCUACACCCAACCAAAUUUAUUCAGUCAAUUGAUUGUCCCAGAAAAAAUCAGUCAAAUCAAUCACGGCAAUGCAGCAUCCAUGUCAAGAUACAGUUGCAGCAUUCCAGGAUUAAAAAAAUACAGUUCCUAAAGUGUAGAACAUUCCUGAACGAAUGGUCGAUGUUGAACUGCGGUCAUCUAAUGCUUCACCAAAUAUCAGCAUUUGUUCUGAUGUAAACAACCAGAGAAGCAUCACUGAAAUUGCUGAUUCACAUACUAGAAAAGACGAGGCAGGACUCCAAUUCUCAACAGGACAAACAGCACCAUUUCCUGGCAGAGAAAUGCAAAACAAAACACAAUACAUCGGUCAAAUCAUAGCAAUCUAACGACGGCGCUAAAUGCCAGCAGAAAAUCGGUUGAACACAAAGAGAAAAAGGACAAAAAAAAGAGRACUCCGUCCUGCUGAUCACAAAAGCAGAAGGAAAGAAAGACCCAACACUUCCAAGAUCAUAUCACCAAAGUACCAGUCUCCUUUCUCCCAUAAAAACAAAGUUUGUAACUUAUUCCUAAACCCAACCCUGGUAGCGUUCAAAUUACUUGCCACUAGUAAUAAUCAGAGACAAUAUCAGAUUCCCAAAUAUGUAUAUGCCCGAUGAAAGACAUCUCGAUGUAAAGAGCAGGGAGUUACAAGGAGGAGGAAGCUAUAGGAGAACUUCGCAUUGAACUUUGCACGCAAUGGGGAUGUAGCUCAGAUGGUAGAGCGCUCGCUUAGCAUGCGAGAGGUAUGGGGANNNNNNNNNNNNNNNNNNNNNNNNNNNNNNNNNNNNNNNNNNNNNNNNNNNNNNNNNNNNNNNNNNNNNNNNNNNNNNNNNNNNNNNNNNNNNNNNNNNNAGAGAGGUGUCUCGGUCAUGUCUGCCUGUCUCCCGAACCCGUAGGGUCUACACACUUAAGGUUCGAUGACGCUAGGGUUAUAGGGAAUUGUUAUACGAGAUUACCGAAAGUUGUUCGGAGUCCCGGAUGAGAUCCCGGACAUCACGAGGAGCUCCGAAAUGGUCCGGAGGUAAAGAUUGAUAUAUAGGACGGAUGGUUUCGGACACCGGAAGUGUUUCGGGCAUCACCGGUAACGUACCGGGACCACCGGGACCACCGAAGGGGGGCUGCGACCCCAAGAGGUAAGAUGGGCUAAUUAGGGGUGGGAACCAGCCCCUAGUUGGGCUGGUGCGCCUCCCCACUCAGCCCAUGGCGCAGGGGAAAGAAAARGAGGGGAACCCUAACUUAGGUGGGCCUUAGGCCCACCAGAGGGGUGCGCCACCCCUCCCCCUUGCCCUGGCCGCCACCCCUCUCCCAUCUAAGGGCUGCCGCACCCCUUAGGGGUGGGAACCCUAAGGGCUGCGCCCCUUCCCCUUCCCCUAUAUAUAGAUGAGGUUCGGGGCUGUUUGAGACACGGUUUAAUCUCUCUCUCUCGGCGCAGCCCUGUUCCUCUCCCUCCUCCUCUCUGCCGGCGCUUGGCGAAGCCCUGCCGGGAGACCUCGUCUCUCCACCAACACCACGCCGUCGUGUUGCUGGUCUUCUUACCCAACCUCUCCCUCCUCCUUGCUGGAUCAAGGUGUGGGAGACGUCACCGGGCUGCACAUGUGUUGAACGCGGAGGUGCCGUUGUUCGGCACUAGAUCGGAAUCGCUGCGAGUACGACUCCAUCAACCGCUUUUUAGCAACGCUUCCGCUUAGCGAUCUUCAAAGGUACGAAGAUGCUCUUACCCCUCUCUCGUUGCUGGUCUCUCCAUAGGAAGAUCUGAACAUGCGUAGGAAAUUUUUUGAAUUUAUGCUACUUACCCAACAGUGGCAUCCGAGCCAGGUUUUCUAUGCGUAGAUUCUAUGCACGAGUAGAACACAAAAGUUGUGGGCGAUGGUUUGUCAAUUUGCUUGCCGUUACUAGUCUUAUUCUUUUCCGGCGGUAUUGUGGGAUGAAGCGGCCCGGACCGACCUUACACGUACGCUUACGUGAGACUGGUUCCACCGACAGACAUGCACAUCGUGCAUAAAGGUGGCUAGCGGGUGUCUGUCUCUCCUACUCUAGUCGGAUUGGAUUUGAUGAAAAGGGUCCUUAUGAAGGGUAAAUAGCUUUGGCAUAUCAUCGUUGUGGCUGUCACGUAGGUAAGAAGGCAUUCUUGCUAGAAACCCAAAUCAGCCACGUAAAACUUGCAACAACAAUUAGAGGACGUCUAACUUGUUUUUGCAGGGUUUGACAUGUGAUGUGAUAUGGCCAAAGUUGUGAUGUUGCAUGUAUGAUGUAUGAGAUGAUCAUGUUAUUGUAAUAGGUUUCACGACUUGCAUGUCGAUGAGUAUGACAACCGGCAGGAGCCAUAGGAGUUGUCUUAAUUUAUUGUAUGAGAUGCAACGCCUUGUGCUUGCUAUUUUUACUUCAUUGCUAACGGUUAGCCAUAGUAGUAGUGAUAGUAGUAGUUGGCGUGACGACUUCACGGAGACACGAUGAUGGAGAUCAUGAUGAUGGAGAUCAUGGUGUCACGCCGGUGACGAUGAUGAUCAUGCGAUGCCUGAAGAUGGAGAUCGAAUGAGCAAAGAUGAUAAUGGCCAUAUCAUGUCACUAUAUGAUUGCAUUGUGAUGUUUAUCAUGUUUUACAUCUUAUUGCUUAAAACGACGGUAGCAUAAUAAGAUGAUCCCUCCUAAAAUUUCGAGAAAGUAUUCCCCUAAGUGUGCACCGUUGCGAAGGCUCGUUGUCUCGAAGCACCACGUGAUGAUCGGGUGUGAUAGAUUCUAACGUUCGCAUACAACAGGUGUAAGCCAGAUUUACACACGCGAAACACUUAGGUUGACUCGACGAGCUUAGCAUGUACAGACAUGACCUCGAAUACAAGAGACCGAAAGGUCGAACAUGAGUCGUAUGGUUGAAUACGAUCAGCAUGAAGUUGCUCACCAUGGUGACUAGUCCGUCUCACGUGAUGAUCGGACACGGGUUAGUCAACAUGAAUCAUGUAUCACUUAGAUGACUAGAGGGAUGUCGAUUUAAGUGAGAGUUCAUACUUAAUUUGAUUAAAUGAACUUAAUUGUCAUGAACUUAGUCUAAAAGUUGUCUUUAUAAAUAUUGUAGAUGUCCAACGUCAACCUCAACUUCAACGCAUUCCUAGAGAAAAACAAGCUGAAAGAUGAUGGUAGCAACUAUGCGGACUGGGUUCGCAACCUGAAGCUCAUCCUUGAAGCAGCUAAAAAGGCUUAUGUCCUUAAUGCGCCGCUAGGUGACCCUCCCGCUCCCGCAGCAGCCCAGGACGUUCUAAACGUCUGGCAAGCCCGGAGUGAUGACUACUCUCUGGUCAGGUGUGGCAUGUUAUACAGUUUAGAAACGGGGCUCCAAAGACGUUUUGAGCAACACGGGGCAUAUGAGAUGUUCCAAGAGCUGAAGCUAGUUUUUCAAGCUCAUGCCCGUGUCGAGAGAUAUGAAGUCUCCGGCAAGUUCUUCAGCUGUAAGAUGGAGGAGAACAGUUCUGUCAGUGAGCACAUACUCAAAAUGUCUGGGUUACACGGUCGUCUGACUUCACUUGGAGUCGAACUUCCGGAUGAUGCUAUCAUUGACAGAAUCCUCCAGUCUCUCCCACCAAGCUACAAAGGCUUUGUGCUUAACUACAACAUGCAAGGGAUGGAGAAAACCAUUCCCGAGUUGUACUCGAUGCUCAAGUCUGCAGAAGUAGAAAUCAAGAAGGAGCAUCAAGUGUUGAUGGUCAACAAGACCACUAGUUUCAAGAAAGGCAGGGGUAAGAAGAACUUCAAGAAAGACGGCAAAGCUGUUGCCGCGCCCGGUAAGCCAGAUGCCGGGAAGAAGAAAAAGAACGGACCCAAGCCUGAGACUGAGUGCUUCUACUGCAAGGGAAAAGGUCACUGGAAGCGGAACUGCCCCAAAUACUUAGCGGACAAGAAGGCCGGCAACGUUAAAGGUAUAUAUGAUAUACAUGUUAUUGAUGUGUACCUUACCAGCGCUCGUAGUAGCUCCUGGGUAUUUGAUACCGGUGCUGUUGCUCACAUUUGCAACUCAAAGCAGGAACUGCGGAAUAAGCGGAGACUGGCCAAGGACGAGGUGACGAUGCGCGUCGGGAAUGGUUCAAAGGUCGAUGUGAUCGCCGUCGGCACGCUACCUCUACAUCUACCGUCGGGAUUAGUUUUAAACCUUAAUAAUUGUUAUUUAGUACCAGCUUUAAGCAUGAACAUUGNNNNNNNNNNNNNNNNNNNNNNNNNNNNNNNNNNNNNNNNNNNNNNNNNNNNNNNNNNNNNNNNNNNNNNNNNNNNNNNNNNNNNNNNNNNNNNNNNNNNACCGUCGGUGGGUGGGGGUGGGUUGGUCCGGACGAGAAAUUCGGAGCGGGGCGAUGGACGACGAGGAGUGUGGGCUGUGGGGGUUGGUCGCUUCGUCCAGCUGGGCUGCACUACGGCCCGUGUAAGUGGGCCUUACGGUUAGCUUCAGGACCUGAUUUUGGGCCUCGGAAUGUACAAAAAGACUGGUUAUAUCGCAACAAUGAGAGUUCAUUCUGCUCAUAAAAAAAUCCAGAGUUCAUUCUGAUUCUCUCCAAAAAGAAAAGAAAAACUCAUCAGAGUCCAUCCUCGGUUUCUCAAAAAAAAAAACAGAGUUAGUUCUCAAAAAGAAAAGGAGGGCUCAUUCUUAGCAACAACUCGUUGAUUUCCCACCGGAGAUGCUUAUAACUUUAUUCCAACAUUUUGUUUCUCAAAAGAAAACCCAUCCCAACAGGUUUGCAUCUACGUGCCGAAAAUCUCGGGCAUAUCUCGUGCAACCAAAUCAGCAUAGCUGUUUUGCCCAGAGCGCUUCCCUCGGAUUCUUUCAUAUGAUUAUGGCAGCUAUUACAACGGACUUGCUUCUCGAAAAAUCUCUAAUACAGUUUACAAUGCACGAUGCAUCGCCUCAGUUAUGUGUACAGAAAAUUUUGGGGCAACGUCCGAGUGUUCUAGACAGUAUACACUGCCCAUUGCUAAUUCCUCCC